UAUUGUAGCAACAGUACUAAUCGAUAGUAUUAACUAAAUGAGUUAGGAAAAUUUGAUUAUGUAAAGGUAAUUUGUUACAGUGAGUUUUCAGAUAAUAUAAAGGCCUGAAGCAAGCAAAAGGUUAUAUAAAACUUGGAAUGAUGUGAUCACGAGUACUUCUCAUAGGUGUACUGACCAGGUGAGCAUACGUAGCAAGUCAAAAACGAAGAGCCGAUACAUAUAUUAAAAAAAAGGUGAAAACACAGCAAAAUGAUCCCUCAAAUCUUAUGAUUGGGGAAACUUGAAGAUUCCGGAUGGAUCACAUCCAGAAAGUGGGAAAGGGAACUUGUGAGAUGAACUCGUACUAGUACCACCACCGCCGCCGGCAAGAAGCUUGUCCAGAAACGACCAGUCAGCAUUAUUACCAUUACCGAUGAACUUGUCCUGUGGGAUGAUUGGUGCAGUAGUAGUAGUGGCGGCAUAACCUUGUGGGCGCGCCCCCGCCCCACCACUUGGCGUCAGGCUCAACAAGCCAUGGUGCAUCAUCAGGGACGAUGACGACUCAUGGUCGCCGUUAUUGUUGUUUGAAGUGAAGGGCAUCAGUGGGCAAGAAAGUCCGCCGCCGGAGAUGUUAUUAUUCCCGGCUGCUGCGGCUACUGAUUCUGCGCUGAACAGUUGGGGAAGAUGCAUGGACCCGUCAAAUCCACCCGCGCCGCAGUGGUCAUUAUUAUAAAGUAAAUCGUGAAUGUGGUGGCGGUGGGGGGGGGGGCUUGGGGGGGUGUGGGGGUGGGGGGAGAUGNNNNNNNNNNNNCGGUGGCAUGAUGAUGCUGAUCGGCGUCUCCGAUGCCGAUUACUUGCUGUGGAAGGUAGCCUCUUACAUGGUUCUUUUUCUUGAAUACUCGACACACUACCCAUCCGUCUUCCUGCUCAUCAAUUGUAUCCACAAAUUAACUUCCAAAUAUAAUCGAAAGUUGAAAUNNNNNNNNNNNUCCAACGUUGUCAAUUGCGUUACAAUAACCCAAGAGUCGUAUCAUAUAAUAUAUUUUUGAAUAUUUUAUUUUAUCAAGUAAAAUAUUCGUACUCUUUAUAUCUAAAUUACAAUUUCUAACUAAUUGCAUUUUAUAAAUUAUUGCUUACUAUGAUAUAUUUAAUUCAAUUUUUGAAAUCACUAGAAUGGAAUUUUUUUAAUUUUUUUUUAAAAUAUGAAUGUUGAGAUUGAUUUUCUUAAUUUUUUUCUUUUACUAUAAUUUCCUACAAGUAGAAUGGAAUUUUUGUAUUCGUCUUUAUUCACUAACGCCAACGAAAGUGAGAAGAUUCCCAGCAUGUUGAGAUUACUAGCAUGCAUGUUGAGAUUUAUUAGAAGUACAAAUACAGUAAAAAUAGGUGAAUGUAAAAUCAUUGAAAAAAUUACAACGCAUGAUUUAGAAGUACCUGAACGUCAGAGUUGUCGUCGUCGAGACGAUAUUCAUGCAUAAUCCAGUCGGUUUUAUGGCCAUGAGGUGCACGUCCGGUAUAGAACACGAGAGUUUUACGCAUCCCUAUCCUCUGUGAAUUUCCGAGGUGUAUGGCUUUGUCCCUCCCCGUCGCCUUCCAAAACCCGGCCGUAGUUGCUCGGUUGGUUCGAGUCCCAGUCGGGUACUUCUUGUCCUUGUGGCUGAAGAAAUACCACUCAUUUUGAGGCCCUGUUCCUAUCCUGCACUUCUCUGCAUUAAUUAACCACAAAAAAGAAGCUAAGUUAGUAUAUACACUAGUAGUGAGUCUGAUAUGCGCAAUCUAGACAGGGCUGCUGCAAACAUCUUAUUAAAGAGAGCGACAUAGUCUGCGACUGAGACAGAUCAAUAACGUCGAGGUCGUCUUUAAUUAUAAGAUGAGUAAGUCGUGAUAUAUAUGUACCUUUGAGGUCCCAAGGCUCGAGCUUGUUGAGGUCGACUUCCCGGAUAACGUCGAGGUCAAUAGCCUCAUAAGAAACUUUCUUCCUGAGAUAAUAGUACAGAAGUUCCUCAUCCGUUGGGUGGAACCUGAAACCUGGAGGCACCGUCAGCUGCCCACUCCCCGCCAUGAAUCUUAUCAAUAUAUAGAGCUGCUGUGCUUGUUUGUAAGGUAAGUAAGAAAGUAGUGGGUUGCUGGUUUUGGAAAGUUGGAAGGAUAACUUUUGCUGGAGAUAAGUGAGAUCAGAGAUGAAAGAAGGAAUAUUGAAGUUGUUGGGUCACCGGCACCCAAAAGGAGGGGAAUUGACGUAGCCGGCAGUCUAAUGCUGGAGAGAGAGAGAGACAGAGAGAGAGAUGUGAGAGAGAAGGGAUUUUGAUGAAUUCGAGCUUUAACAUGGAUGAGUGAUCAGCGACACCCGACCCAAGAUUGGAACAGAAAUAAAGGAACCUAUAUUAAUUAAUUAAUUAAUUAAACAACUACAAAAAAAAACAAUUUAGGAUAUAAUUUGUUUUUACUAGUAGUAGCUUUUAGGGUAUCAAGUGGUUUAAUCGUGAAAGUAUGUGCGUGAUUCUGUAAAUUGUUUUAAUGUCAAGUUUGGGGCAAUUUAAUUAGUUGUAACUUGUAACUCCGGGUAAUAGCAUUAUUCAUGAGACUCUUGAUGGUUGACUAUGCAAGACAACGUUAUUUUGUUAGGCAGGUAUUCGACUAUAUAUGAUUCGAUCGAAAAUGGUUAUAUUUGCACUGAACGGGUUAUAGAUUGAUGUUGUUUAAGUACCCAUGAUCAUAUAUCUUACCCGCAUAUAUAAAAUUACAUUCAACCCUUAUGGUUUACAUAAACAUAACAUAUAAAUAAGGGUGAAUUUUUCAGUAUAUCUGGUAUACCGAAACUUUCGGUGUGCCCAGUUUUUUUUGGUAACGUAAAUCCAUCACCAACGUCCAUUUUCAGUUUGCGAUCUCGACGGCUCAUAAUUAUUCGAAUAUUAAAUUUCUAUUUCACAUUUUAUUUUUGAUCUCAUAUAUUUUCUCAAUUUGUAAACUAGUCACCCUUUUUAAUUCCUGUAUACCAAUAGAUUUGUACCCUCCGUAAGGGCAAUCAUAAUCGAACACAAAGUAAAGUUAAUCCAGAUGACUCCCGCUCUGAUCAAUCUUGAAAUUGUGUUUGCAAUGUCCAAAUUGUUGGUCACUAUCCCCACUGCUAACCCAUACCUUGUAUUGUUCGCCAACUUGAUCGCUUCUUCCGUCGUUCUAGCCACCACAUAUACAUCAAAUUAGGAUUCAUAUGUAUGUACAUGGAAAUGUAAUGAACGUUUCGGAAAAUAUGUACUUGAACUUCAUGAGUGACAUCACCGGACCGAAGAUCUCGUCUUUCACUAUGGUCAUAUCCUCAUGUGCACAUUUGCAUGAACAACUAGUGUCAAAAUCCAUUAGGGCAUGGAAAAGAAAGAGAACUUUUUCGACUGACCGUAACAUCGGUGAAGACAGUAGGAUGGAUGUAAUAUCCCUUAUUGGCAGCAGCUUUACCGCUGGUUAAUAAGGUAUCUCCUUCUUUCUUUCCUUGCUCAAUGUGCAGUAUCUUCUCGUACUGUUUCUUAUCGACCUGUGGACCAAGACGAGAAGCCGGGUGGAAAGGAUCACCAACGACCCAGUCUUUGGCUUUCACAGCCAACUUGCCGACGAAUUCAUCGUAUAUUCCUUCCUGCACAUACACCCGUGAACUUGCUAGUCUAGAAAUGCUUUCUCAGGUGUCAACCCUUUAUUCAUUGUUUCAUCCUAAAAUAAAAAAGGGGAAUAAGUAAGCGACAAAAGUAGCACAUUUAUUGAAUCAUCUUUUCGUUCCGUUUACAUGUAGGUUAGCCGGAAGAAAACAUAGUGGACCUCCUGUCCUCGAGGUCUUCAGUUCAGUCAGCUCUACUAUUUUUUGUUGAUAAGCAACACAUGUUAUUGCCUAAACAAUAUGUAUGACAUUAGCAAAGCGAUUGUGUUUUUAAAAACAUGGAAAUAAAAACUAAUGUCUUGCUGUUGUACCUUUGUAUCUAACCAUGUAUCAGCAAUCAACGUCCAAAGCGCAAUGCGAUCACAUUUUAACUCAUCGUGUUGGAUCAAAACUUCAUCCAUGGGGAGUUCUCGGUCAAAUAUGUAACACGAUACCUUCUUUCUGAUAUCUUCGAACUGCAUGUUGUCCAUCAAAAUGUAUUACAUAUUAAAGAAAAUAAUCAUCGUAUUUUAUCAACACCAAGAAAAUCAUACGAUCACCUUAAAUUCGCCAUCAGAUAAUUCCGAAUUAGACACCAAGUUCACUAUAGGUGUGGUCUUUCUCUGUUUCUUACCUGCAAAACAUUACAACUUGUGGUCAACUAUUUUUGUCGAUAUGAACGAAAAGAAGGUACAAAGCAACUUACUUGCGAAUUUGAAUUUUCGCCGAAUUUCCCGAUAAACCUAGCUUAGCUUUUCCAUUGUUGUUGGCCACGUAUAUGGUGAUGAAUACGAUAAUAAUAAAAAUAUGUAUAUAAACGAGAAUGUGGAUGAAUUUUAGGAACAGGUUUGUGAUAGUGCUAGGAUCUGUAGCAGUUAUCUAUCCUUUUAUGCAUGUUUUUUGAGUGAUUAUUAGUUUGUUCGAGUUUCAUUCCCAUAUGAUUUCGUGUUUUGGCAUCAUGUUUCUAGAUCCGUUCACUUGGACCGUCUCGGUCCAUUUGAUGUGUUCUUUGUAGUAUUUGUCACCUACAGGUACUUUGGAGAUAGGUGGUCUGGCUAUGAAGCCAAGGACGUGAAGUAUAGCACGAUUGGAGUUUGAACGGAAGAUCGAGAAAGGAAAUAGAGGAGCAGAGGGGUUGCACGCCGUGCAUACCUAGUACAUGUUAAAAUCCUUGGCCUCAAAACAGGGGAAUGGCGUGCACCCCUGCACACCGUUCCGCCCUUUUAGCUACGUGGAAUAUUGAAGACAAGGAGGUACACGACGUGCACCCCUGCAUGCCAUUCUGCCCUUUUUGCUAUGCGGGAUAUUGAAGACAAAGAGGUAGAAGAUUGAAGUUAGGAUUGAAGUUAGAAGACUAAAAGCGACGAUUGGAGGAAGAACAAGCUGUUAUCUCUUCAACAAGAUGAUGGUUAGGGUUUCUUUUGAUUUGUCUUCUUCUAGAGUUAUGAGUAGCUAAGUCUAUAGAGUUUCUUGGUUGAGAUGUAGGAUUUGAGUCGUGGUACUUAAUUUGAACGUUUAGAAACGACGAUUGUGGAUAAUUGGAUGUGAAUGGCUGUUUGCUUUGAUUCUUGAGCUUUUCAACCUAAUUAUUGUUACGACAAUAAUUAGGUCAAAUCUACGGGUUUCUCUAUUUGAUCGAUUUAGGAAUUCAUAAGAUUAACAUUUCAAGAUAGAUUAAAGUUAUCAGUGGGGUAAGCUGACCACCCAAUUUAACCUUUUGUUUUUCUUCUAAUUUUAAAAGUUAUUCAUCUUUUAAUUAGCACCCAAUGGACCAAGUUGGGUGUAGUUAUCAGUAGCUUAGGCGUUGAUGGACCAAGUUAACACUAUUUCCAAUUACUUGUGAUUUCUUUUAAUUUUGGAAAAACACCUUAUCAGUUUGUAGAACUUCUCGGUGUUCAUUAACGACUAGCCCGAUUAAGGUUAUUUCUACCUUAGUUGGGAAGCUAGUAAUGGUAAUCCGCGUGCAUGAUCGUGCCGCGGAUUCAUACAAGUGAUAGGGGGAUUCAUUUUAUUCAAUCCAAGUCCAACAUUUGUUCGUUUUGAAUGCGUUUCGGAAGUUGAGCUUGAUGAAUCAUCUCUUCCAAGAACUUAUUUUCACCUUUUCAAUCAACCUUUGAACUGUUAGUUUCAAUUAAUCAUUAAAGUAACUAAAAUUCAAAACCAAUUCCGUUAGCCUAAACCGUGUUGCAAGUUUGAGUACAAGUAUAACGAGAGGAACCUUUGGACAGAAACGACACUUGUGUUGUCGAAUUAAUUGUGAAGUUAUUUCGGCGAUCAGUAUGGAAAUGGGUAUAUCAUACAAUACCCCCGCCACAAACGACCCCAUUGAUAUGCCUACUAUUGGCAAGUUAGAAGUUCCCCUGACUAUUUGUUGAACUUCUGAUCGAGCUGUUUAUUUUAUAGGACGUCUGACACUUUUAUAUCUCUUACUAAAGACAGUUUUAUAAAUUCCGGAAGUCCUCAAUGAAAAAUAAAAAAAGUAAUAUUUUUCUGGGAGAAAGAAUCAAAAUGAAAACCAUAGAGUAAAAUGUAGCACACACCAUUGUUGCCGAUAAUCUUUACUCCGUGUAAUGUUACAUAUUUAGGAUUCCGCUCUAUCUUGAUGUCUCCUUUUCGAACUUAUAGCAUGGGCAGGCUUAUUAUGAAUAUCAUCAUGUCUGUUUGUGCAGCAGCUAGCCUGUAGGCUAUAGGUAGCAGCAUCCGAUUUGUUUGAAAUUGAAAAGAUGGGUUGGAAUAAAUGUCGGUUGAAUGAGAGACCUCUCUCCCAUUUAUCGCCUUAUUACAAUGAAGAAAUAUCGGCCCUCUUCACUGUCAAUUACUGGCCUAAUUCAUUAAUUCUUUUUAUAAUAUUUAGUUUUAUAAAUAUAUCCCAAUUUUCAUACUCUAGUCAUUACAUAUAUAAUAUAUUCGAUACAUACAAAUCGAUUCCUACAAGUCCGCACAUUCUUUUGACUUCUUGGGUAUAAUAUGAAAACCCACGACAAAAACAAAUAUGAUUUCCAAUUCACCCCCCAGAUCAUGAGGGAAUGAUUUUAUUUGUUGUUUAUAUAUAAUUGAUUAGUACAGUGGAAGCUUACGCUAGGACUAAUGUAAAACAAACAAAAAUAAAUCAAUAAAGUGAAUAUCAAUUAAAAAUUAUUAAAAUAUAUGUAUGAUUCCUUCAAACACGUGUAUUAAACAUGAAAUACGUGUUUUAUACGUGAAGCAUCAAACAUACGUGAAAAAUUAAACGGCUUUACAAUAGUACGGGAACGAAAAUUUUAAACACCCAUAAUUCAUAUACAUGCAUUGUACGAGUAUUAAACGGAUUUUUGCUAACUAAUAAAUCAUAUACCAUUAGUUUAGUUCAACAUUAAAUUUCAAAUUAGGUAAUACUUCCUGAAUGAGUACCAAAUCAUCAGGGCAUUUCAAGAGUCAAAUAGCAAUAAUUAAUUAUCACAUUCAGUAAUUUCACAUCGUCUCUAUUCUUAAUUCUUACAAGCUUUUAAUAAUUUUUAAUAAUAAUUUGUGGGACGAAAAAGAAAAAGAAUAACACAAUUCGGAGAUCAACAUAAAAAAAUGCACACAUACAUAUUUCACAUGUCCAAAACAUCAUGAUACCUACGAGAUAAACUAGGGGAGGAGGAGGAGGAGGCCACCGCGGUGCUCAAGAUUCAGGAUCAGAGCAACCAUGCAUGGUAAAAUAGAGAUGUCAAAUCUGUUAUUUUCUUAUUUUAGUUAUAUUCAUACUAGAAGCCCGCACCAAGUCGAUAGACAUGUUUCGCGCCAAACGUUUUGCGCAAGGGAACAAUGCGGAGAAUAAAGUUUUCUUGAGUUUCAAAAGGGUGGCUGCAACUGCCACACUCGUUUCGAGUUUCAAGCCUUGAGAGCAUCGCGAGUUGAAAUUAAAGAGUCCCACGAUCGGGUGAUGCGCCAAAGUAUAGGUUUGAACCGAAACAUCUCACAGCUUCCGCCAGGCGCCUGGUAGGUGUAUUAGUUGCCUUUUUUACUGAGUUUCCAUAUUCGAGAGUUGUUUGAAUUGUCUCGGGGAGGUGGGGACAUCCCGCGAAUAGUUUCCGCUCCUUGUCGUCAUCCCAAAUUCCAAAACCGGGAACGACAAGAUCAUUGACCGUCAACGUAAGUAAGUUUCAGAUUACAUGGUGUCUCCAAAUAACAUUUUCCAUGAUGAUGAUGCUGCCUAGAUAUUCAUUGAUUCGAAGACUAAUUAUUUAUUUCUUGUUUAUACUUUCAUGAUCUGAAAGGGGUUCUAAUUUCUUUCGCAAUUAUUCUCAGAGUCUGGUCAACAUAUAUUAAGGAUAUGAAAAGGGAUUCUGAACUUAGGAGAUAACGAAGGAGACGUAGGAUUCAAGAAGGGAAUUGAAUAUAGGAAAUCAAUGGUUUAGUUUACAUCUCUUCAAAUUCAGUGCACCAUUCUGUUCUUUGCUCGGGACAUGCAUAAAAGAAAUAAUUUUUAAAAAAUAAAAGGUGAAAACAUUAAAUUCAAAGCCGAUACAUCGGCCAACCCAAUUAAUUUAUUUAAUUGCGCAAACUAUGGACUGGAAUCCAACAUGUACUGUCCUCAUGAUUCAACAUGCAUUUAGGGUUUUCCAAUCCUAAUGAAGAAAAUAAGUGAUGGAUUUUUCGUACCUAAUUAAUUUUCCAAAAUUUACAUCAUUAUAAUAUAAAUUUAAUUUAAAUGCUACGGUGCCUGUUAAAGUGAGAUUGUGUUCACCCAACUGAUAUUUAUUUUAUUUAGAGUGAUUUUUUAAAUUAAAUAUUUAAAUGAAUAGAGGUUAAGACAUUCUACAAUAAGAUUACACUUGAUCUUCUUUAGUUUUAUUUUAGAAGAAUUACAUUUUUAACUAAAAUAAUAGAUUAAUAUUAUCUCUACCAAAUCUUUAGACUAAAUUGAGAGGUACAUUGUUUGGACUGCAUAUGUGUUGGGAUCUUGGGUUUCGUAAGGUCGAGCUCGAUGUGCGCAGUUCAUAUCCUCUCUCGGCAUCCUUUGAUUGUGACCAUAUUCACUCACCCACGAUCCACCAUGAUCAUCAGCUUUUCCAUCGAGUUUCAACAUAUUUUUCGUGAAAUUGUAAUCAUGUCGUUGAUUACGUUGCAACCAUUGACCUGCUUUUUUUCGUAGUUUUCAUUGUAUAUAUUGAGCUUUCUGAUCAUACUCUUGUAUACUGAUCUUCUUAUGACCUAUUUAAUUUUGCAGAACUACGUUUGAUUGUAACAUAAAAAUUAAUUUUUGUUUAAAUCCCUUAAUACUUUUAUUUCAUGAUGAUAGUUAGAUUCUUAACACAAAUGGAACAAAGUAUGUACAUGUACAAUAGUUUUGGGAGAUACGGAUUAAACGUGGCAUAACAAUAGAACGAAGGAGGAAAAUAAAAAGUAUCAAGUUGUUUUUUUAAAAGUGAUAAUGGUGAAGACCAUCUUCAUCGCAAAAUUCAUUUAACAAUUUUUAAUUGGGUUCAUAUUCCCAAAUCAACAACUUAAACAAUAAAAUUAUUGAAAAAUGCUAACUAUCUCCAUCCCUACAAUAUUUAGCCAUUUUUAAUAAAUAUUUAUAUGUUUUUAACAAUAUUUCUGCAUCAAUGAUAAAUAGGUAAUUUAUAAAAUAUUUGGUACUCAUAAAUAUUUUUCCAAAAAGUGCACCUUGACUUAUGUGACAUUGCUAAUUGACUUUUUAGAUUAACAAUUUUACUAAUUUAACAAGCAUAUAUACAUCCUUAAAAAUUACUAAAGAGAGCCACAUCAUCUUCCACCUCAUUUUAACACCAUUGCUAAAAUUCAGUAAUGGUGAUACCCUAAUAAUUAAUUUAUAUACGUUCAGAAUGUUUAGCAGUUUAAAUACAUAUAUAUUCAUCCAGGUAAAACAUCCCACGACCCACACAUUAAUUCAUUGUCUUAAUUAUUGAACUGUAUUAUCACUUGCUUCCUAAUUAGACUACUUGUACAACUACGUACGUAGAUACGUAUGUAUAUAUGUUGUAUGCAUGUCAUGUGAGGGAUGCGUAGAGAAGUGAAAAAGGAACUAAUUAAUUAAUUAAUAUAAAAGGUGGAAGUCCGUUUGGAUCACGUACCCUCGCCGAUCCCAACACGUACGUACACUAUUCAUUAAUUAUUGUGAUUACUUUAUUAUUAAUUAAUUGUGUAUAUUAAUUAAGGAAUGCUUACUAGCUUUCACGUGCUGCCUGCCUGGCCAUCUCUUCCGGCCGCUUGUAGUGAUACUGUACUGGUCAAACACGGAGACGAAAUGAACAACUACGUACUGCUAGCUGAAUUAAUACUACUAUAUAUACUUUAUAUAAUUUUUCAUUUUCAUUUAUAUUUAUGUGUUGUUGCUGCCGUUACCUUUACGAAUACGAUUUGGUUAAUUAACCUUCAUGCAUGUGUGUGUAUAUGCUAUAUACAUCUCUGCCUCGGAAUUUACAUGGUUGAAUGUAUAAUUGGGGUUUCAAUUAGUUGGGCUGGAACACUGUUCUAUCAAAAUGGAAGCAAUUAGCUAGCUAGAUGGCUUUGGAGAAUUUAACUGUCAAACAUAAAAUACCUUGGGUAAUGCUAUAUACAGUCCAUAUUUUAUUUCAUGCAGUUUAUAUUUUAUUGUAAAUGGAUUAAUAUACCCCUAAUUAAAAUAUUAUUAUAUAUAGACGACAUUAGUAAAAUAUUUAUUUAAGUUCUUCAUUCAAACGUGAUCAAAGUUCUUGAUUCCAAUCAAUAUACGAUUAAAUGUUUCUAGGAUUUAUCAGGUUCUCGUUCUUGGUAAGUCAAUUACCAAUUUACUUUUCAAUAUCGUCUUCUAUUCACAGUGUUUCAAUUCAUUACUUCUCAAUCUUUCAUUGUUACAUGUUGUGUUCAAAAUAUAUCCUAUGAACAGUCGUUUUCAUAUUUAUAUUUGAAAUAUUGAUUUAUAAAAACAGACUGUACUUAGUAAAAACGGACUGCACGAAGUAACAACAGACUGUAUUAGAAAAAAACAGACUACAUUAGUAAUGUUUUUAAACUAAAAAUAUUUUAGUCUAUUCACAGACUGCAUGAAACAAAAGACGGACUGUAUAUAGAAAACGCGAAUAAAUUCAACAACAUAAAUUCAGUUGUACGCCGGGCCCGCCAGAAGCUUUGCAGCAUAAAAGUAGGCACAAGGGGAAUUUAUUUCCAGAUACACCAGCCCAAACUGGCCCAACAAUUGGAUAAUUCUUCAAAACAAUCCUGCUUUAUUUCACUAAAACUCAAGCCCACUCAGCCCCCUUCAUCAAAACGCUACUUCGGUUUCAACAGUGUUUGCCGCCGCCGCCGCCUACCCCCUUAAUCAAAACGUGCCCCAAAGUCGAUUAACCACAAUGUCGUCGUCGGAGCAGGACCCUUCGCCCCCAUCAGAGGAGCUAAAUUCACUAACCGUUGGCUCAUCCUCCGAAUCAAAUUCAUCCAUCUCCCAGUUAGGCUCUCCCUGACCCUCUUGCUUAGCCUUCUUUCCCCUGCAUUUGUGUGUCCAGUAUUUCUGCUUAUCUUUUAAUUGGUACUGUUCUUUUUUCUUCUUCUUCAUUUCAGGGGGUUGAGUCCAGAAGAGAAGUUUCGGAUAGUGAGAAGCGUAGGAGAAGAGUGUAUCCAAGAGGAUGAGCUCCUCAAUUUUCUCACGAAGAAACCCCAAAUAAUUUGCUAUGACGGGUUCGAGCCUUCGGGUGGAAUGAACAUUGCUCAGGUACUUGUUUAUUGUUUUGCCUUGGUUUAAUGGAUUGACUGUGGAGCGUAAUUCACAAAAUGGCGGAAAUAAGUAAGUGCCAUACAAUCAGUGAACCUUUUGGCCAACUCAACCCUACUGGGUUUAUUGAAGAUGAAGGAUCAAAUGAAGGAAGCAGCAGCAGCUGCUCAGGAAGAUGUUUACUGGACCAGCUGCAAGUGCUAACGGAGUGAGGAAGGAGGACUUCACUAAUGGCGUUAUGAAGUCAUUAGUCCGUUAAGUGAAUGUAUGAAGCGUUGCUUUGAAACGCUGCGUUUACGCUUAUCUAAUUUUACUGUUUUAGUUACCGUUGGUUAAACAGUGUAAUACCGAUUUUUACCGUUGAUGUUCAUAUAAAUAAGAAGCUGCUUCCAUGGCUGUUGAGUAAGCUUACUCACGCCAUUUCCAACCCUCUUCUCUCUGUUUUGAUAUGGUAUCAGAGCCCAUAAUCAUCGCAUACUAGCGAUGGUCGAUCUCACUUCACCGUCGUAGGGAUCUGGAGGUAGAGGACGAGGAUCGGUAGGAGUCACCUUCGGGAACUUCUCCAACGAAGAUGAAGAUGAAACUGACGAUACCCUCAACGUCAGUAGGAAUCCAUCGCCGAUCCAAUUUGGUAAUCCACUAUACCUGAACCCUAAUGAGAAUCUUUCUCAGUCCAUCUCGAAUGUCGUGCUUGAUGGGACGAAUUACCAGAUCUGGCAUCGAUCUUUGCGUUUUGCACUCAAGACAAAGCAUAAACUGGGUUUCGUUGAUGGCUCUAUAGAUAUACCCGAUACUAGUGAUAGUGGAUUCAUAUCUUGGGAUGCCUGUAAUACUCUUGUUUUGUGCUGGAUUCUUAAUACACUCGAUUCUGAGAUUAAAAGGAGUGUUAUGAAUCACGAGGUAGCUAAGAACUUAUGGGAUGAGCUGAGAACUCGAUUUGGAAUUGGAAAUGCCAUACGUCUGGCCAACUUGCAGGAUGAAAUCCACGCAUGUAAACAGGGAACUAGUAGCGUCUUUCAACAUUACACUACAAUAAAAGGACUAUGGGAGGAAUACUCACAGUUCUCACCCAUAGUUCCAUGCUCUUGUGCACCUGGAAAUCCUUUGCCAUGCCCAGCAGUUGUGGCAUUCCAGACUAAGCAAGAGACAGACUAUUUGAUUAGAUUUCUGAGAGGUCUCAAUGAUGAGUAUGAGGUUGUGAAGACUCAGUUGCUGAUGAUGCGCCCGCUGCCUAGUGUGAUUGAUGCUUUACAAUAAUGCACUACAACAUGAAGAAAAGUUGAAGGGUCAUCUUGGUGUGAAGAAGGGUGAAUCCAAUCCUGUGGCUUUUUUAGGGCCAAGGGAUGGGGGGAAGAAAUUUUGCAGAUAUUGCAAGAAGGACAAUCAUUUUAUUGAGGAUUGUCUCAAACUCAAGGCUAAGAAGAAGAAGGAGGCUGCAGAGGGUAGAUUUUUUGCCAAACCUGGUGCUGGAGGUCCUUUUGCAGGAUCUACAUCUCAAGGUGAGGAGGUUGAAUCAAAUGGAUCAUCUUCCAAGGAUUCCAGUGUAGUAGAGGCAACGGUGGGUUUCACCAGUGCUGAGAUGCAACAGUUGAAAUUGUUGUUGCAAUCCAGUGGAGGAAGUUCCUCAUCUCCUGGCAAUCCUCACCGUGCAUUUGCAGUCUCCCAACAUCAACCUGAAAGAUCCCACUAUGCAGGUACGUAUGCUCUAAAUUCUGUUUCCAAACCACAUGAUGAUAAUUACUGGAUUGUGGAUACUGGAGUUUCAGACCACAUUGCCUGCUCUCUUUUGCAUUUCAUUGAGUCUCAAGCUGUCACAAAUGUGUUUGUUUACCUGCCAAAUUCCACAAAAGUCUCUGUAGUCAUGUAGGCACUGUUCGUCUCUCAUCUAGCCUCACUCUCACACAUGUCCUUUGUGUCCCUAGUUUUGCUUUUAACCUGAUUUCUGUCAGCAAGUUGACCAGUGGCCACAAUAUUUCCUUGAUAUUUCAUUCUGAAUCUUGUUCCAUUCAGGACCAUACUUCCAUGACGACUCUUGGUUUGGCUAACCAGAUUCGAGGUCUGUAUCAGCUUCUUCCUUCUCAAGUCCCUUCUCAAGUCCCUUCUCAUAGUCCUACUGUGGCUACCUCUUACAAUUUCCAGCCCCAACCUAUCCAUUUGUGGCACUGGCGCCUUGGUCAUCCUAGCAGCUCUCGCAUUAAAUCUUUAGAUUCAUGUAAUGUUGAUUCUGUCAAAGAAACAAUAAAAUACUAUGAGACUUGUCAUUUUGCCAAACACAAGAGACUUCCUUUUAUGCCUAGUAGGAAACGAGCUAGUAAAGCCUUUGAGCUGAUUCAUGUUGACAUUUGGGGUCCUUUGUCUGUUAAAUCACAUGAUGGUUUUUCGUAUUUUCUUACUGUGGUGGAUGAUUAUUCCCGUGGAGUUUGGCUGUAUUUGCUGAAACACAAAUCUGAGGCGAGAAAUAGGUUGGAAGAUUUCUGCCAAUUUGUGAACAAUCAGUUUGAAUGUCCAGUUCGUGUCAUUCGUAGUGAUCAGGGUGCGGAGUUCCACAUGGUAGAAUACUAUGCCAAGCAUGGCAUCCUGCAUGAAAUGAGUUGUGUUGCCACUCCGGAGCAGAAUGCUCGAGUUGAAAGGAAACAUCAGGACAUUUUAAAUAUUGCGCGAGCAUUGAAGUUUCAGUCUUGUCUUUCCUUGUUCUUUUGGAGUGAUUUUGUAGUUCAUGCCGUUCAUCUGUUGAAUAGGCUGCCUAGUACAGCUAUUGACAACAAAACGCCCUAUGAAUUGCUCUAUGGUACUGCUCCCAGUCUUGAUCAUUUACGGGUUUUUGGAUGUCUUGCAUAUGCAGCCACACUGUCCCAUAACAAGACUAAGUUUCAGUCUAGGGCAAGACAAUGUGUUUUUCUUGGGUAUCCUAUUGGAAUUAAGGGUUACAAGCUCUAUGACCUUCACUCUCAUCAUUUCUUUGUUUCUAGAGAUGUCAGAUUCCAUGAAACUAUCCUACCUUUCCAUCCUACAUCUCUGGACCUUCCAACCUCUGUUGAGAUUCCAUCUGCAGAUUUUGAGGGAGGCCAAUCACCACAUCCUUCUCCUUUUCUUUCACCUACAUAUCCAGAAACACACUCUCAAUCCCCUAAAUUCACACUGGUGCCAUCACCUGUUAAAACCAAUACACCACCACCUUCUAAAUCCUAUGCAGAAAUACCACCAUCUCCACCUGACACUGAACCAGAAUUGCCUCUUGAGCCGGAACCAUUUGAUACUGAUUCAGAAUUAGACUCCAAUCUCCCUCCUGAACCAGAAUCAUAACCAAUGCCUAGACGUUCUAAUCAAAUCAAAUCCUUACCCACCUACCUUCAUGAUUUCUACCUUAAUGUUGCAUUUGUAUCUCAUUAUUCUAAACAUUCCAUUUCUAAAUAUAUCACUUAUGACAAUCUCUCUCCAGUAUAUAGAGCUUUUGCCCUUAAUAUCAUUACUCAAAAGGAACCUGAUACAUACUAUGAAGCUAUUAAAAACCCAUGUUGGGACCUUGCUACAAAGGAGGAGUUAGGAGCCUUGCAGGAGAAUCAGACUUGGGACAUUGUGCCUAAGCCCUUUGGACAGAAGGUUGUUGGUAGCAAGUGGGUAUUCAAGAUAAAAUAUAAACCUGGUGGGGCAGUAGAACGGUACAAAGCGAGGCUUGUAGCAAAAGGUUAUACUCAGACGUAUGGAAUUGAUUUUCUGGACACGUUUUCUCCUGUAGCAAAGAUAAACACUGGGAAGACUCUACUUGCAGUUGCAGCAGUGAAGAAUUGGGAAUUACAUGGAUGUGUUGAAUGCAUUUUUGCAUGGAGAUUUAGAGGAAGAUGUCUAUAUGGAGGUUCCGUUGGGAUUGAAGGCACCACCUGGAUCUGUUUGCAAGCUCAGAAGUCUCUGUAUGGACUCAAGGAAGCAAGCAGACAGUGGUUUGCUAAGUUGACUGCUGCCUUGCUACAGAAUGGCUUCACUCAGUCUGCUUCAGAUGCUCUUUUCCUCAAGCACACUGAGAGCAGUACUACAUCCCUUUUGUUCUAUGUAGAUGACAUCAUUCUUGCAGGAGAUGAUGUGAAGGAGCUAGGGAGAGUAAAAUCGUUCCUUAAAAUGCUGUUCAAAAAUUAAGGAUUUGGGAGAUUUGAAGUAUUUCCUUGGUCUGGAAGUUGCUCGUUCUGAUAAAGGGAUCACAGUUUCACAAAGGAAGUAUUGCUUUGAGUUGUUAAAGGAUACAUGAUAUCUUGAGGCUAAACCAUCACACACUCCCAUGGAGUUUAGCUCAAAGCUUCCAGCUAGUCAGGGGUCAGGUUAACAAACCAGAGGUAUAUAGAAGGCUGAUAGGGAGGCUACAUUAUCUGACCAUUACACGACCAGCUAUAGCCUUUCCCGUACAGCAGUUAAGCCAAUAUCAAUCACAACCUACUGAUGUGCAUCUACAAGCAGCGUACAGGGUGUUGCGAUAUCUUAAGUUGGCACCAGCACAAGGAUUGUUCUACUCACAUAAUGAUCUUGUGCUUUCUGGUUACAAUGACUCAGAUUGGGCGUCCUGUCUAGACACUCGACGCUCUGUCACUGGAUAUUGCAUGUUUUUAUGGAGUGCAGUCCUCACAUGGAAGUCAAAGAAGCAGAGCACUGUGUCCAGAUCCUCUUCAGAGGCUGAAUACAGGGCUCUUGCUCAUUUAUCAUGUGAGAUUGAUUGGUUGAAGCUACUGCUAUCAGAGUUAAGGGUGUUCAUUUCCACUCUAGUAGCGAUCUAUUGCGACAAUCGAUCGGCUAUACACAUAGCAGAAAACCCUGUCUUUCACGAAAGGACGAAGCAUAUUGAGAUUGAUUGUCACGUUGUCAGAGAUCGUGUGAAGUCUGGGUUGUUGAAGUUGUUUCAUGUUGGAAUUGAGUUUCAACCAGAUGAUUUUUUCACGAAGGGAAUGCAUCGUGUUCGACUAAGGUUCCUGAUCGCCAAGUUGGGAGUUAUUGAUAUAUACUCCUCAAAUUGUGGGGGCAUAUUGAAGAUGAAGGAUCAAAUGAAGGAAGUAGCAGCAGCUGCUCAGGAAGAUGUUUACUCAGGACCAGCUGCGAGUGCUAACAGAGUGAGGAAGGAGUACUUCACUAACGGCGUUAUGAAGUCAUUAGUCCGUUUAGUGAAUGUAUGAAGCGUUGCUUUAAAACGCAGCGUUUACGCUUAUCUAAUUUUACUGUUUUAGUUACCGUUGGUUAAAUAGUGUAAUACCGGUUUUUACCGUUGAUGUUCACAUAAAUAAGAAGCUGCUUCCAUGGCUGUUGAGUAAUUACUCACACCAUUUCCAACCCUCUUCUCUAUGUUUUGAUAGGGUUGUAGAUUUUGCAUUGUGAUGACUACUUGAGCAGAGGUAUAUCUUCCAUGAAUCAUGCGAUCUAUUCUUCUUUGAUAGGACUUUCACAAACUUUGAUGAUCUUGUUGCGGACUAUGAAAGUGGGGCGUUGCAUCCUUGUGAUCUGAAACUUGGUUUGUCAAAAGCAUUAAACAAGAUCCUGCAGGUAUAAAACAUACAUGGUUUCUUUUCUUGAGACUUGCCAUGUCUGAGUACUUUCUUGCUUUCUCGAGCCUGUUCGAGAUCACUUCAACCAUAAUGCCAGGGCCAAGGAUCUCUUAAAACGCGGCGAGGUAUAUCUUAUUUCCAUCAUUUGAUUUUAUCGCCAUCAUCCAUUUUUCAAAUAAUGUGUCAUGGACUUGUUGAAUGGAACAGGACUUUGGAAUUGUCGCUGAUGUACUUUCUUUGCUCUGCUCAAUCAUGCAGAGUUAUAAAGUUACAAGCUCAAUCAUCCAUGAAAUGAAAAUCAAACUCAUUAGUUCAACCACGAGAAACAGAAGGAAACAAAAACACAAACACAAACACAAGUUUUGGUUACGAUAAACAAAAAUCCUGAAACUGAUAGAGUUUGCUACUGCUCAUCCAUGUCUUACUCCGAAAAUGGUGGACGAUACUGAAAUGGUGCAGCUGGAGGGAAGUAUGGGAGAGUGAGCGCUGCUGCUUGUGAAAAGCGUAAUCCUGAUAGGUGUAAAGCGCAUCGAAGUGUUGAUCCACAUGAGUUUGUAAAUCACGCAUCUGUCUCGAAAUACUGGCGAUAGUCUUGCGCAAAUCCCGAUCCUGUCCAGUCUGACGAGCAGGCUAUCGACCUUGAGAAGAGCUCUCACCAGCAGUAGUCUCCUUCUCCUUCCCAAGAAGGCAAAAAUAAGCAAACAAGUUUUGAAUACCGACUGCCUUAAGGAGAGAACUAGUAAGGCGUGGCAGAGUAACUCAAGGAAUAGUGGAGAGAGCCCCAGAGUCAGUCAGGCACCUCAAACUCUUCACAAAGCGUGUGACGUAAGAUCCACCAAACAGCUGUUGUUCUUCUCUACGGAGCGAGGGCAUUGAGAAAUGAGCAAUUUGGCAGUUAAGGGUGCUGAAUGAACUCGCUCCUUCUUAUGUACGCCGUACAACACGAAGAGAUCGCGGGAGGUGCAGAUACCACUCGAGCUCUACUGCUGGAUGAGGGUGGCAUGGUGGAAAUGGUGUAGAAGUUGGAGCACUAAUUGCUCAAUUACUGUUGCUUUAGAUCUGCUAGAGCUGUAAUGGCUCGGUUUCCCGCUCUUCAAGGGCUGCGGAGACUCAUAAGGAGCAAUGUCAUGCCAAAACAGCUCAUAGUCCACACUAGUAGAACCAGAGUAAAUGCUCAAAGGUGGACUGAUAGUCAACUCAUCUUCGGUGUAGAAGCCGAAAUGGGUACCAAACUCAUCCAAGGACCAGGAAUAUGGGAUUCCUCCACAAUGUAACUUGAUUGCACUAGUUAGAGUAGGGUCAGUGAUCGUUUUGCACCUAAUAAUUGAGAUGACUUCCUUAGUCGCCCAUUCUUAAGUGUCCUCCUUCACAUCAAACAAAGGUUCAAGACUUGCAUCACGAACAACAGUCGACAACAACGACAGGUGACCCAUCCAGAUGUAGUGAUAGCUUUCCGUACUAUUUCCUCCCAAGCCUCCUUAUCUUUCUUAUCUGUGAAGGUAAAACACUUUGUUUUGACUGAGUUUGACAAACCUUGUACCCGAAAUGAGGUGGAGUGAAUCACACCACAACUUCGCUUACCAAGAGAUUCCAUCCUGUAGGAAAGAAAAGAAAACAAGAUAAUCCUUGGAGAUCCAAUCUUAAAUAAGACAAUGAAGACAUUCUCAAGAUGAGAUCAAUGACACACGUCUAGACACACAUCACAAACCAAAAUCAAACCAAAAGGCUCAAAUAAAUCAAAUGAGAUCACUCCACACUUAAGUAACAUCAUAUAGUGAAAAUGACCAAUCGUUAGGAAGAAAAGGAGGCUUGAGAAGAAAUAGCGCCUUUUAUGCUAUCACUACAUUCAGAUGAGUUGAUUUGGCUGAGUUGGAGGAAGCAAGGAUUGAGGAGUUGUUAUCGACUGCUGUUCGUGAUAUAGGUCUUGAACCUUUGUUUGAUGUGAACUAUUAGGUGCAAAACAACCACUAACCCUAUUGUAGCUGGUGCAAUUAAGUUACAUUGUGGAGGACUCUCAUAUUUCUGGUCCUUCAAUGAGUUUGGUAUUCAUCUCGACUUCUACACCGUAGAUUAGUUGAUUAUCAGUCCACCUUUGAGCGUUUACUUUGAUUCUACUAACAUAGAUCAAGAGCGGUUUUCACAUGACAUUGCUCCUUAUGAGUCUCUACAGCCCUUGAAGAGUGGGAGAUCGAGCCAAUACAGCUCUAGUAGAUCUAAAGCAACAGUAAUUGAGCAACCAGUGCUCCGACUUCUACACCAUUUCGUCCAUGCCACCCUCACCUAGCGGUAGAGCUCGGGUGGUAUCUGCACCUCCCGCGAUCUCUUCGUGUUGUACAACGUACAUAGGAAGGAGCGAGUUCAUUCGACACCCUUGGCUGCCAAAUUGCUCAUUUCUUAGCGCCCUCGCUCCGCGGAGAAGAACAAUAAGCUGUUUGGUGGAUCUUACAUUUUAAUUUACAUUAAUAUUUGUGACAAAUUUUGUUUCAAUGUAAGUUCGUUACCCGUCCCGUAAUGCGUUUUUAAUUAUGUUAAAUCAAGCUAAUGAAUAUAUACUGAUUAAUUUGUCAUUUGACAAAGAAUGUGAAAUUUCCUUAAUGAUAACCCUUUGAAAAUAUUAUAGCAACGUUAUUUGAAUUUCGUAUCCGCGACAAGAGUUUCCGAUUUUAAAGAAUUAUUAGUUAAUCAUUAGUGGGAAUAAAUCAAUAUCAAAAUUACAAAUCAUUAUAAAUCUUUAAUACUCCCCUAAAUUUUAUAAAUAAUAAUAACCGGAUUACCAAUCAAGAGGUUCGUAAGUAAGUACAUAAAAUGUGUGUUUCUAAUUCAUCGAUCAACGUGUUAGCACCAUCGGUUUCGGUAAAACAUGUAUCUCUAAUUCGUCGGUCAACGUAUCAGCACCAUCGGCUUAAAAAUACCAAAACACGAGGGUUUUCUUUCUAAAAAUUCCAACAUCAAAAUAACCAAAUAAAUGUUAUUAAUAAAAAAAGGAGCAUGAUUACGUGGUUUUUACAAUAGUAAAGAUUACGCAAAAUCCUGAAAUCAUCUUUUUCAAAGCGAACUACAUGCACUUUGAUCCCAAAAGAUUGGGUACGUAGGCAGUCGUAAGACUCGAGUUCAAACAAUUAAAUAAAAAAGUACUCAACUAAAAAUAUUUAUCAACAUGGAAUGAAAUUUCCACAAAAGUGGGAAUUUGUAAAUCCAAACAAUUAAAUAAAGAAUAUUCAAUUGAAAAUAUUCGUCAACAUCAAACGAACUUUCCACAAGAGUGGGAAUUCGUAAAGACUUAUAAUUUAAUAAAAAAUUCUCUAAAAAUUUACAUAAUCUUCCACAUCCAAACUAAAGUACAAUUAAGCCACUAAACAAAGAAUAUAAAACAUAACUUACCGAAUUUCGUAGUACCGGUUUACCGGGCGCUACGGGGGUGUUUAUCCUUUCCCACACGUAACCGCCUCCCGAAUCCAAAAGGUAUACACAACUCAAUCUAGACCCAAGAUCGAGAAGUCCAUGUCCUGCAUUUUCGGGGUGACAAGAAAUAAGCCGAAGGAUCAAUUCAAGUUGGGAGAACUAGUGAGUAUUUACCCAUUAGGUACUUACUAGGAUACAUCCACAACAAGAGUACGACAUAGGGGGCCGUUGAAGCAGAUAAUCGGGAUAUGAAUAGGAUAAUCAGGAAAUUAGAAAAGGGUAACCCAAAGCAUAGGGGGCCGUUGAAAGCAGGAGAGUUGAGAUCCAUCGAUUAGGGGCGCAGGUCGGAAUGCUUCGGCAAAAAGUUAGAAAGUGCGAGGAGCGAACCAGUUCACUAGAAAGAGAGGUAUAGGAACGAACGACAAAUGAAGAUGAUAUCCACAGAGUGAUGCAAGCUAUAGGAAGGAUGAAGAAAAUCAUUGAAAAAGGGCACGCUCUUUGGUAGCGAACGUCGAAUACCAUAUGGAGAUGAUCGAAGCCAUGGGAGAAGAAGGCGGGGAGACAACAACCUUCUUAAGCCACCUAUAUGAAGAGCUAGCUUCUUACGAAAACAUGUCCGGAAUCGGAGGUCAAAUAUAUGAGUUGUAGUUUGUACUUUUCUUUUGUGUAAUAAAUAAGCGAUCAACGUGUCAUGUUUUGGGUUGUAAAAGCGGUGUAGUAAUAAGCACUGCAGGCGUCUGUACUAUACUAGUAAGAGUGUGGUAUGUAGAAUGUUCUGAGCGUGUUAUACUAUGACCCCUUUUAUAAAGUAGUUGUUAUGUGUUGAUGAUACCGUCCAUGCAUCCAUCCAUGUUUUCAGAACUCAUACAUACCAUGUACCAUGAACAAAUCUUGGGUUUUUGUAAGUAUAAAAAAUGAGGAAACUGGUACGGCUUGUUCACCAGGAAAAUCUUUCGACAUUACUCACCAACUGACGGUAGUCCCGACACACCAGUAUUGGACUCGUCUUAAAGCUAUGAUCAUGAUUGAACAAACGCUGGAAAGUCUCCAAAAGAAGAUGGAAGAGAUAAAAGGACGGAUAGCUGGGUUUGAUGAAAUGAAGGAGAAGAUGAAGUUUCUCGUAAGGUUGAUGGCUGACAAAAGGAAGGUUAGAGAAGAUGAAGACCAGAAGGUCAAUUCGGAAGUUCCUUUUCUCGAGCCAACUGGUGAAGGCCAUUCAGAAAGGAGAGUCGUCAUGAUCGAUAAUGAACAAGAGAAAACUGAAAAAGAAACCGGAGAGACUAGUGGGAACGAUGUCCACACUAUGUUGGAGCACGUGAAACAUUUUGAGUUACACAAAGAUACGCCAUCCAAAGAAUGGCGAGAAUGCUUAGAAGAGAGAUUGUGGGCUGUAGAGGGUGUUGAUUCUUAUGGCACCCUCAAUGCAUUGUAGUUAUGUCUUGUGCCAGAUGUGGUGAUCCCCCACAAGUUUAAGAUACUAGACUUUGAGAAAUAUGACGGUACCACCUGCCCGAGGAGCCAUCUGGUAAUGUACUACAACAAGAUGGAAAACCACACAUAUGAUGAUAAGCUGAUGAUGCAUUGCUUCCAGUAUAGUUUAGGAGGCUCCGCUUUAAGGUGGUACAUGCAGCUCGAAAGAACAAAAGUCAGAAGGUUGCAGGAUGUUGCUGAUGCAUUCAUGAGGCAUUAUAAGCAUAAUCAAGUUCUGGCCCCAGAUAGGGAGGACUUGCAGAAUAUGGAGAAGAAAGAGAACACAUUGUUUUGCGAGUAUGCCCAUAGAUUGCGCAAAAAGGCCGUCUAGGUACAACUGCCUAUGUCAGAGAAGGAUCUAGUCUCGAUUUUUGUUGAGACUCUAAAGCCUCCCUUCUACAACAACAUGUUGGGAUAAUCACGACAAACUUCUCCAACAUGUUGCUAAUCGGAGAAAGAUUUUUGAAGGUGAUCAACCAUGGCAGAGUAGAUGUUCAUGAUCCUCUCAAGAAGCAUAAUACCACCCGUAAAAGGGAUGGGUUCGACUACCCACAAGCAACCAGGCACCGCCAUAUGUUGUUGCGGCCCUGUUAGUGGUGCAUAAUCAACCGUUCAGACCCCAACAAAGGGCGGCGCCCAAUCCUGCUAUUUAGCUGGGAGGAUACCACGGUAACCAACCUAUCCAUACCAUGGAGGCAGCCGGUUGGGGCUUCCGGGCAUAGCAAUUCAAACAAUAUAGGACACCGAAACUACUCGACCUCAUUCCGAUCUCGUAUACCGAGCUCUUCCCUUAGUUACUAAAAAGCAAGCAGAUCAUCCCAAUCCCACUGAAACCGUUGCAACGACCGUACCCCACCUGGUAUGACCCAGAAGUCCGAUGUGAGUAUCAUACCGGGGCACCUGACCUUGUGGUCGAAAACUGGAAGAGCUUCAAAUAUAGAGUACAAAAGCUAGUGAGGGCGGGGUGGAUGAAAUUUGAAGGCCAACCCAGCCGCUCGGUCGUAAAUAAGAAUCCGCUCCCUAACCAUGGAAAGCACAAUGUUGCUAUGGUCGAAAAGGAAGAAUCUUAUCGGGAGAAGCUAAAUGUUGCUGAGAUUAAAACAUCGCUGAAAUCCACGUGCAAGUUCCUCGUAGAUAGUGGCUACCUAAAAACCGCUGAGGGGCGAAGUAUUUCUACAUGGCUAGGGGACGGGUGUUUAUACCAUAGCGGUAAUUCUGACCAUACUAUGGAUGAUUGUGGGUCUUUCAAAGAAAAAGCUGUAGGCACUCAUGGACCCCAAACUGGUAACUUUCAACUCAGAAGUCGAAGGAGCAGCUAACAUUUACAUGGCGUCACUAGAAAGUCCAGAAUUUGACUUUCCUAAGCUUGUGAUUCACUACCAUGCCACCGCAAGACCACCGCCAACGCCUUCGGAAGUAACACCAUUGGUUAUAAGGGUCCCGAGGCCUUUCGAGUAUAAAAGCUCCAAAUCUGUCCCGUGGGAAUAUGCGUGUCAAGCUCGCGAUGAAGGCAAUGCUGACUCUCCGGCUAUAACUAAUAUAACCGGGUAAAGUCAUAUCACAAGGAGUGGAAGGCAUUAUGGUGUGCCUGAUGGCCUAGAUGAGACGGAAAGUGUUAGAAUAGCAUAAAUAAGGCAAGGGAAGAGAGUGUAUUCCGAAAUCGCAGAACCGAAUAUCGUUCCUCCUCGAGAUAAACAUGAGGGGAGGAAGGAGGGAUGAAGAUUAUGGACCAAGAUUUAGUGAUGAAGAUGCAUGUGAGUUCCUGAAGCUUGUAAGGCAUAGUAAGUUCAAAGUAAUAGAGCAGUUUAACCGCACCCCGGCGAGGAUUUGACUCCUGUCCCUGAUUUUAACCUCUGAGCCCCUUCGACGAGCCCUCAUAAAACUGUUGAACGAAGCGCACGUCGGCCACAAUGUCUCGGUAGGGCGUUUUGAUGGUAUAGUCAGAGCGGUUUUGGCGAAUAGGAAAAUCAUUUUUGACGAAGAAGAGAUACCUUUUGAAGGAAUGGAUCACACUAUGGCACUGCACAUAUAUGUAAAGUGUAAGGAUUUCAUGAUAGCCCGAUGCCUGGUUGACAAUGGUUUGUCACUGAAUGUUAUGCCAAAAUCCACCCUAAACAAGCUACAGAUUGAUGACUCAUACCUUAAGCCAAGCUUCAUAGUGGUUAGGGCUUUUGAUGUCACAAAGCGCAAAGUCAUAGGGGAAAUCUCACUAUCCAUUUUGGUGGAACCCAAGGUCUUCCAAGUGAUUUCUACGUAGUGGACAUAAACCCUGCAUACAGCCUGUUGCUAGCACGCUAGUGACUCCGCACAGCGGGUGUAGUGCCAUCAUCCCUACACCAAAAAUUGAGGUUCGCAAUCGAUGGGAAGCUCAUUGAAGUGUUCGGAGAGGAUGAUACGCUGGUAACUAGACCUUCAAACGCACCUUACAUUGAAGCCAUAGAGGAAGCCCUAGAAAGCGCAUUCUUGACCUUUGAGAUUGAGAACGUUGCAUACGUAGAGCAUAGUGCGGAUCACAAAGCCCAAGUCUCCCAAGCGACUUUGAAAUCAGCAAAAUGCGUGGUUAAGGACCUCCACUACUCAAAAUGGUAGGAGGUGCUGAAAGAACCUAUCCAGGUCAAAGAAAACAAGAACAGUGCAAGAUUGGGAUACAUUCUGAAGGGUGAUGCUAUAAGGAGGAUCCAAAGGGAACAGAAAAGGAUGAGGAUCUCAAGGUUAAGUGGGACAGAAGAUGAUGAAGGCUUGACCUUCAUACCUCACAUCACAAGGACAGUCAGGAGCGUUGGAAAGAUAAAUGUGAGGAAAACUACACCGAUCCGACCACCAAAGUGUUACAGUCAGAUUUUGCAAAUCUCUCCAUCAGCAUGCUGGGUACUGGAAUUACGACCGGAAUAGAAUCGGUGCACCUGUUCUGUCCGGAGGAAGAGCUAAGAAAUUGGGUGUCUAUGGAGUUACCUUCGCCAUCGCAGAUGUAAUAACUCUAAAAUAUAACUACUAAAUAAAAGAAGCGAGGGCCUCCUAGUGUUUUUGAGUGAUCUUGAAUGCAUGUAUCGUAUUUUCCCAAGUUUAAUAAAACAUCUUUUUCAUAAGUCUCAAUAUGUGCAUCAUCCAUAUUAUUGACUUUCAUUUUCCUUCUUUUUCCCUUUUCUAUUCCCCCUCACGUAACAGGGUUACAUAUGUGUUUGAAAAUAAUGAAGAGUUUUGAAACACUAAAGUUGACUUUGACCGCCCAGUUUAUGAGGUGGAAACCGAGGAUGGCAGUGAUGGUUCUGACCUAGAAAUAGAUUGGUUGGCAGAACAAGAAGAGCGAUCCUUGGAACCUUUCUACGAGUCGGCAGAGAUCAUGAAUUUGGGAAUAGAAGAGAAUCGACAAGAGGUAAAGAAUCGGUGAGAGGCCUUUUUAUUAAAAUGAAACGUUCACUGAAUCAGUCACAAUGAACAAUAGAUUGGAGGGUAGUUUAGGGGGGUAAAAGCACAACAAUGUGUAUGAAUGGAUGGUAUAUGAAUGUUUACUAAUAGGAAUGUUUGAAUGAUAACCUUUAAAUCAAAGCUUAUUUUUUUGUCGUGUCUCAAGUGGCGGCUCUUUGCGAGUGACGAAAUUUUUAGCAUAUAGUCUUAGUGGUUUUUCUUUGUAAUGUAUUGUAAUAACUUUUUUUGGGACUUUUUUGACUUGUGUGUUUUUUAGGGGAUUUUGGGGGUAGAGUUUUGGGGAAGGGUACUCUCUAAUCUCCUCCUCCUCUUCUCUUGACUUUCCAUUUAAAUUAAGAAAAUGGGCUGCCACCUCCCCUUUUCUUCAAUCAAAUUUUGCAACGUUUCUGAAAAAAAACAAGAGGUUGCAACCCCUUAAUUAAUAAUAGUAACGAGCCAAAAAUUAGGCCUAAAAUCGGGCCCGAAAAGCAUUGGCAGUUUGACGUAGAAUAGAGCUACGAAACUAAAAAUUUGAAAGCCUGGGCAAAUUUGGUUACUACAGUUUCCCCUCUUUGUCCUACUUUUGUUUAUAACAAAAGGUAGUACAAAGAUAGGAACUAAAUUUUGAAAGGUUCGCCGAAUCUAUCCUCACGUUUGUUUCUUUUGUUUAUGUUUUGUUAAUGUUUUUUUUGUUUAUCAUUUUUAUAUGGAGUAGUAAUAACACGAUACUAUGAAUAAAGUCUAUUAAUGAAUAUAUGGUUUGAUCGUCCUAUGACACUAGGGGUGAUUGUACUAGGGACUCAGUUUGACUUAUCUCCCGUUCGAGGGUGCCAUACGUUUAACCCAGGGUGCUAAGGUGAAUGUACUAGGGACUCAGCUUGACUUAUUUCCCAUUCUUAAGGUGUGAUCCUCUUGCCCCAUGAUGAUAAUGGUGAAUGUACUAGGGAUUCAACUUGACUUAUUUUUCCGUUCCAAGGUGCAAUAUGCUUUCCCCAAAGAUGCUAAGGGUUGAUUCUACUAGGGAUUCAGCUUGACUUACUUCCCGUUCUAAGGAGCGAUCAGCUUGUCCCAAGAUGCUAAGGGUUGAUGUACUAGGGAUUCAACUUGACUUAUUUCUCGUUCUAAGGCUACAAAUGUGUUGAUGAUGAAUGGUUUUUGCAAGAUUUUGAAUAAGGCUCCCCUUUUUAUGAAAAAUAUGCAUGUGAUGGUGUGAUAUUUCAUUUUUUUUGAGGAAAUUGACUGUUUUGUAAAAAACAUCUUGUCAAGUACUAGAAACUGUGCUUUGUUCACAGAUCCUCCCAGGACCGCUCGUUGCAACAAGACACUACUUUCGUGAUGAUAAACAUUACGGUGGGAUUUUCUAAGGUAAAUGUUGAUUGGACAAUCUGAGCUUGAUAUAAUAAUUUCGCUAGUUUCAACCAUCGCUCCCUUUUGCUUAGAACGUGCCCCACUUAUACAUGGUUGAUCCAUCUUGAGCGUUCAUGAUUCUUAAUUCCAAGAGCCGACUUGCCGCUUCGUUUGCGCUACAUGCUAGUGCAAUUGUGUAAGUCUGCUGAUAAUUAGGUAACCUUAUCGUACGCACUCCUAUUCCUUCGUUUUUCCUCCUACCGUCUUCAUAUUAUGAUCAGACCCCGUGAUCUUGAGGAUCUCCUUCCUACUUUGUCUCUACUUCUGGAUAUGAUGGCAAGACAACAUCGACCCUCGUUAAUUGUUUUCUGGGGUUAAGAGUAAGUGGAGUAAACCUACCAUUUGGGUUUCUUUUCUUUAGCCUCUCUUUAACUCUUUCGUUCUUUCAAUAAUUUUUAUUAUUAUUACUACCAUUUUUUCCUCCUUUUUUGUCUUUUUCUACUUUACUAAUACUUUUGUUUGGAAAGACCUCCUAAUGAUUAAUUAGAGCGAAAGUGUCUGCAUGAAUGCAUUUGCACCAAGUUAAUUUGGAGUAUCGUGCGUCGUCCAUUCUAUUUGGUGGCGGGUGCACAACAGUUAGGAGAAUAGUAUUUGAGAAUUCAUGACAUAUCCAAAACGUAAAGUUGACGUAAACCCUCACUUUAUUGAUGGAAAACCGACCUCGUACUUGUUCACUGAAUUAGAGUUAACUGGGUAAGGGAGCUCAUCUCCAUCCAUAUUUGUUAAUAUCAAAGCCCCACCUGAGAAAGCCCUCUUCACUACAUAAGGCCCUUCAUAGUUCGACGUCCAAUUUCCUCUUGGGACCCCUUGUCGAAUGGAAAUCGUCUUUGUUACCAACUCUCCCUCGUUGAAUACCUACGGUUUCAUUCUUUUGUUAAAAUCUCUAAUCAAUAUGCACUGAUACAAAUGCCCGUGGUGGAUAGCUGUCAACCUUUUCUCAUCAAUUAAAUUUAACCCAUUAUACCGCGCUUUUACCCACUUAGCUGCUACCAACUUCGGUUUGAUGAUAACCCUUAGUGAAGACAUUUCUACCACUAUGGGAAGACUGCCUCCAUCCCAUAGACCAAUUGGUAAGGCGUCAAUCCCGUUGAGAUUCUUACUGACGUUCGCUAACCAUGCAGGGUAAACGGUAGCAUUUUGUGCCAAUUGCGGUAGGUAACGACCAUUUUCUUGUUGUUGAGAUUUUUCGGGUUGUCGGUUAUUAUUCUUUCCGAGAGCCCAUACCGGUAAAUGAUUUCCUUUGUUAUGAACUUUGUGACGACGCUUUUGGUGAUAUUUUCCUAUGAUACAGCCUAUAACGGUGCCCAUUCGAUGCUUUUGGUUCAAUCAUGCCUAUAACGUCUAUCCCCCAUGUUGCAAAAGGUCAAGGCGAUGCCAUAACAUGCAACGAUGAUGGAGGCACAUGCUUUUCAUCGGCAUAGACCUGGCACUUUUGGAAUUUUCUCACGUAUUUUACACGGUUAGAGUCCAUCUUCGUCCAAUAGUUAUCCAUCCUUAUUAUCUUCUUAGCUAACGUGUAACCACCGGCAAGCGUGCCGCAGACUCCCUCAUGGACUUCUUUUAUGAUUCUCUGCGCUUCAGGGGCGGUCACACAUCUUAGCAGCAUUGAGUUGUGGCGUACUUUGUAGAGGGUAGUCUCAUCAUCAUACUAACCCAUCGCCAAUCUUCGUAAGGUCCUUUGAUCAUUCUCAAAUGCCCCAGCUAGGUACAUCAUUUUUUGUAGGUAGGUCCUUAUGUCAAUAUACUAGAGAUUCCCAUCAUGCUCUUCUUCAAAACUAGCUAUGUAGGUAAGUGCAUUUUUCUUUUUGAUUUUCAUUCAUGGGUUAACCUCAGUCUCGUCCAGUUCGUACAUCGAGGAAAAUGUGGCGAGAACAUCCGCUAUUUGAUUGUCGAAUCGCGAGAUGUGCUCAAACAGUAUCAACUCGAAUUUCGCUGCCAUUUCUCCUAUGUAUUUCUGGUAUGGUGCGAGCUUAUGAUCCCUAGUUUCCCAUUCUUCCUUUAACUGGUAGAUUACUAGCGCUGAAUCACCAUAUACCUUCAAAUUCUUAAUGCCCAUUCCAAGUGUAGCUCAAAACUCGAAAGCGCACGCUUCGUACUCCGCUAUGUUAUUGGUGCAGUCAAAGCAAAUUUUGGCAGUGAUAGGACACACACUACCUUUGGGAGAGACGAACACGACCUCCACCCCCUGUCCCAAUGAGUUUGAGGCCCCGUCAAACUUCGUCACCCAUGUUUUUUUGGACCAAGCCCUCCUCGGAUUUCUCGAUGUUCAUUAUACUUUUAUCCGGAAAGUCCAUCAACAUCGGAUUCGGGUCCAAGAUCGCAUGCUCUACAGAUGAUCUGCCACUACACUCCCUUAAAUAGCCUUCCUCGGUGUAUAAACAAUGUCGUACUCUGCCAGCAGCACUUGCCAUCGGGCUAUCUACCCGGAGAGGGCCGGCUUUUCGAAGACAUACUUGAUAGGGUCCAUUUUGGAUAUUAAGAGCAUCGUGUGAUAUAGCAUGUGCUAUCUUAGCCUUUUGGCUGCCCAUGCAAGCGCUCCGCAAGUUUUCUCGAGCGAUGUAUAUCGAGAUUCGUAGUAAGUGAAAUUCUUGCCGGCGUAGUAUAUGGUGUGCUCUUUCCUUCAUGAUUCAUCGUUAUGAGCCAACAUCGCGCCUACAAAAUUUUCAAAUACCGUCAAGUACGAUAUUAGCGUCCUUCCUGAAGUUGGUGGGACCAGAACCGGAGGGUUUAAUAAACACCCUUUGAAUUUCUGAAAGGCUCUAUCAUAACUUUCAUCUCAUUUGACAUGUCGUUUCUUCUUUAGAAGUUUGAGAAUGGGUUCACACGUCAGAGUCAAAUGCGAUAUGAACAGACUAAUGUAGUUCAAGCGUCCCAAGAAUCCCCGCACCUCUUUUUGUGUUUGGGGAGGAGGCAUGUCAACUAUAGCCUUCACUUCGCCAGGGUCCACAUCAAUCCCCUUUUGGCUAACCAUGAAACCGAGCAGCUUUCCCGAGGUGACUCCGAACGUACACUUUUCUGGAUUCAGUCAGAGCUGGUACUUCCUGAGUCGCUCGAACUAUUUUCGUAGCAUGACUACGUGGUUGUCUUCCUUUUUUGACUUUGCUAUAAUGUCAUCCACAUAUACCUCUAUUUCUUUGUGUAUCAUGUCAUGGAAUAGUGUGAUCAUGGCUCGUUGAUAGGUUUCCCCAGCGUUCUUUAGUCCAAAAGACAUAACCUUAUAGCAAAAGGUUCCGCAUAAAGUGAUGAAGUUGGUUAUUUCCUGAUCCUCCGGAAACAUCUUGAUCUAGUUGUAUCUUGAGAAACCGUCCAUGAAAGAGAACAUAUGGUGAUUGGCGGUAUUAUCGACGAGAACAUCUAUGUGAGGCAAUGGAAAGUUGUCCUUUGGGCUUGCCCUAUUUAAAUUUCUAUAGUCUACACACAUUCUCACUUUCCCAUUCUUAUUAGGCACGAGGACUAUAUUAGAGACCUAAUCGGUGUAUUAUGCCACGUGCAAGAACCCAACUUCGUAUUGUUUCUGCACCUCAUCCUUAAUUUUCAGUAUCCAUUCCGGUUUCAUCCAUAGUAACUUUUACAUUACUGGCUUGCACUACUCCCUUAUUGGCAAGUGAUGUGUUACUAUUUCUUCAUCUAGGCCUGGCAUACCUGAUAAGACCAUGCAUAAGCAUCCUGGAAGUUCUGGAGUAGUUCGACGAGCCUAUCCUUUUCUGCCGAUUUUCCUCUGUUCCCAAAUUCACAAUCUCUAUUGACUCGUAGAAAGGUUCCAAGGAUCGCUCUUCCUGUUUUGACAACAAAUUUGUUUUUAGGUCCGAACCAUCACUGCCUUUCUCGGUUUCCAUCUCAUAAACUGGGCGGCCAAAGUCAAAUUUAGUGCUUCGAAACUCUUCAUUGUUUUCAAACGCAUCUGUAACCCUCUUACACGAGGGGAAAUAGAAAAGGAAAAAGAAGAAAAAUAGAAGUGAAUAAUAUGGACGAUGCAUGGAUUGAGACUUAUGAAAAUGAUGCUUUAUUAAACUCGGGAAAAUACGAUACAUGCAUCCAGGAUCACUUAAAAAACACUAGGAGGUCCUCGCUUCCUUUAUUUAGUAGUCAUUUUUUUAAGAUAUUACAUCUGCGAUGGUGAAGGUAACUCUAAAAAUACCCAAUUGCUCAGCUCUUCCUCCGGACCGAGCUAACACACCCUUUCUAUUCCGGUCAUAAUUCCUGUACGCUGAUGGAGGGAUCUGCAAAAUCCAACAGUAACCCUUCGGAGGUCGGAUCAGUGUAGUUUUUCCUCACAUUUAUCUUUCCAUCACUCAUGAAUGUGCUUGUGAUGUGAGGUAUGAAGGUCAAGCCUUCAUCAUCUUCUGUCCCACUAAACCUGGAAAUCCUCCUCCUUCUCGGUUCCCUUUUGAUUUUCCCUAUAUCAUCACCAUUCGAAAUGUAUCUGAAUCUCGCACGGUUCUUGUUUUCUUUGACCUGGAUGGGUUCUUUCAGCACCCCUUCCAUUCUGAGUAGUGGAGGCCCUUAACCAGGCACUUUGCUGAUGUCAGAGCCGCUUGGGAGAUGUGGGCUUUGUGAGCCGUACUACGCCCUACGUAUGCGACGUCCUCUAUCGCGAAGGUCUAGCAUGCGCUUUCUAAGGCUUCCUCUUCGGCUUCAAUGAAGGGUGCGUUCGAAGCUCUAGUUACCAACGUAUCUUCCUCUCUGAACACUUCAAUGACCUUCCCAUCGAUUCCAAAUUUCAUUUUUUGGCGUAGGGAUGAUGACACUACACCCGUUGUGUGGCUCCACGGGCAUCCCAGCAACAGGCUGUAUGCAGGGGUUAUGUCCAUUACAUGGAAAUCCACUUGGAAGACCUUACCCGCCUGAAUGGGUAGCUAGAUUUCCCCUAUGACCUUGUGCUUCGUGCCAUUAAAAGCCCUAACUACUAUGAAGCUUGGCUUAAGGUAGGAGUCAUCAAUCGGCAGCUUGUUUACGGUGGAUUUUGGCAUAACAUUCAGUGACGCACCGGUGUCAACCAGGCAUUUGGCUAUCAUGAAAUCCGUACACUUUAUAGAGAUGUGCAGUGCCUUAGUGUGGCCCAUUCCUUCAUAAGGUAUCUCAUUUUCGUCAAAAGUGAUUUUCGCGUCUGCCAAAACCGCUCUGACUAUCCCAUCAAAACGCUCCACCGAGACAUCAUGGCAGACGUGCGCUUGGUUUAACACUUUUAUGAGGGCUCGUCGAUGGGGCUCAGAGGUUAACAUCACGGACAGGAGUGCAAUCUUCACAGGGGUGCGGUUAAGCUGCUCUACUACUUUGAACUCACUAUUACAAGUUUCAGGAACUGACAUGCAUGUUCAUCACUAACUUUUAGUUCAUAAUUUUCAUCUUCUUUCCGCCCCUCACAUUCAUUCUGAGGAGGAACACUAUCUGGUUCAGCGAAUUCGGAAUACGCUCUUUUUCCUUCCUUUAUUUCUGCCCCUCUAACCCUUUCCAUCUCGCCUAGGUCAUGAGGCACGCCAUAGUGUAUUCCGCUCCUUGUGAUCUAACUCAAACCGGUUAUAUCGGUUAUAGUUCGAGAGUCUGCAUCAACCUUAUCUUCAGCUUGACACGCAUACUCCUACAGGACGGCCUUGGAGCUUUUAUAUUCAAAAGGUCUUGGGACCCUUAUAACCAAUGGCCUCACUUCCGAAGACGAUGGUGGCGGUCUUGUAGUGGCCUAAUACUGAAUCACUAGUUUGGGGAAGUCAAAUUCUAGACUUUUAGGCGAUGCCAUGCAAAUGUCAGCUACUCCUUCGACCCUUGAGUAGAAAGUAACCAGUUUGGAGUCCAUGGGCGCCUGCAAUUUCUUAUUGAAAGUCCCACAAUCAUCCAUAGUAUGGUCAGAAUUUCCAUCAUGGUAUAAACAUUUGUCCCCUAACCUUGCAGAAAAACUUUGCCCCUCGGCAGUUUUUAGGUAACCACCGUCUAUGAGCAGAUUGCAUGCGUACUUCAGCGGUGUUUUAAUCUCAGCAACACCCAGCAUCUCCAGAUAAGUAUCUUCUUUUUCGAUCACAGCAACAUUGUGCCCCUCGUGGUUAGGGAGCGGAUUCUUAUUGACAUCGGGGCGGCUGGGAUGACCGUCGAAUUUCAGCCACCCUGCCCUUACUAGCUGAUGUACUCUAUAUUUGAAGCUCUUGCCGUUUUCGAUCGCGUGACCAGGUGCCCCCGCAUGAUACUCGCACCGGACUUCUAGGUCGUACCAGAUGGGGUAUGGUGGUUGCAAUGGUUUUAGUGGGACUGGAACGAUUUUCUUGCUUUUUAAUAAACUGAGGGAAGUGCUUGGUAUACGAAUUGGGAUGGGGUCGAGUGGUUCUGACGUCCUGUAGUUGUUAGAACUGCUCUGCCCAUAAGUUUCAACCAGCUGGCCUCCAUGGUAUGGCCUGGGUUGAUUCCCUUGAUACCCUCCCAGCUGAAUAACAAGAUUGGGCACCUUCCUUUGCUGAGGCGUAAACGGUUGAUUAUGAGCCAUUGGCUGGGCCGCAACUACAUACGGUGAUUCCUGAUUUCCUGUGGGCAGUCUAACCCAUCCUCCAGUGCUUGGGGCUUCACCUUGUGUGGCAUUGACUUCUUCCCUUUUACGGGCGGUAUUAUGCUUCUUAAGUGGAUCAUGACCAUCCACUCUGCCAUGCUUGAUCCCCUUCUCAAUUCUUUCUCCGAUUAGCAACAUGUUGGAGAAGUUUGUCGUGAUUAUCCCCAACAUGUUAUUGUAGAAGGGGGGCUUAAGAGUCUCAAAGAAUAUUGAGACUAGCUCCUUCUCUAACAUAGGUGGCUGCACCUCGGCUGCUUUUUCACGUCACAUGUGGGCAUACUCUCUAUUCGAUCUGUUUUUUCUCCAUAUUCCUCAAGUCCUCCCUAUCUGGGGCCAUAUCCUGAUUAUGCUUAUAAUGUCUCAUGAAAGCAUCAGCAAGAUCCUGUCGCCUCCUGACUCUUGUUCUUUCAAGCAGCAUGUACCACCUCAAAGCUGAGCCUCUCAAGCUAUUCUGGAAGCAAUGCAUCUAUGCCAUUGAUUGUGAAGCAGUGAAACUGUGGAUGCCAAUAAUUGAGGAGUUCUCGCAUCAUAAUUCCUUGGAACAGGGUGUUGAUCAGAUCGAACAGACAUCCUUAUUUCUCACCAAAUAACACUUUCUCUUCAUCGGUAAACAUUGACCAUGUGCCCCUUAACACAUUGGUUUAGUGCACCGGUAUCCGAAUCGGACAGUUUGGCAGGUUUGGGGUGAGGGUAUGGAACGAUGGUUCUCGCCGUUCGCUUCAUGUUGUCGCUUUGCCAACCACAUAACGUACUCUUCCUCAUUAACAGUGUCUAUGAAGCUUUCUAUACUUUCCAAGAUGAACCUACGCUAUAAAACAGGUGCUUUGUGAUUAUGAUACCUAAAACAUUGACCAAUUUCAUGCCCGAUUUCGGGGCCAUUUCUGGCCCGACUAGUUGACCGCGAAACAGAAAUUUGGUUGUCGGUAUCGAAAAAUCAAAGAAGGAAGGAGGAGAGAAUUAGUGAAUGUGUGAGAAAUGAAGGAAGGAGGAGGGGUUAUUUAUAACAGCCGGAGGAGGUCACCUAGAACGGGCCGCGCAUCCUAGGUGCUGGUAAUGGCCAAAUUGUGUAAUUUACAUUUCAACUUAAUUAUCUAUGUAAUUUUCGAUUUAAUUUUUUCUAAAACAAUUUCCCGUUGAACCAAACUGUUAAAAUAUAUAUUUAAUUUUGAGGAAAGGUAUUAUAAUUAAUAACUUUGUAACCAACAAAAUAAAUAAAACAAAUCUAAUUUAACAUGGGAACCUGAUCAAAUCAAAACAUCAUGAGACAAAUUUUAUAUUUAUUCUUAAGGAAGACUUUCUGAAGACGUAAUUUCUACCAAUUUUAAAGACAGUACUGAACUAUAAAUAAUCCCAAUCAUGACUUAUGUUGGUCAAUUUAGUCAUCACUCAUAGAUGCCUCAAUAUCGAGGGUGUUCAUGAUUUCCUCCAACUCUUCCAUCAGUUUUGCAUGUUUAGCUGCAUAAGAAUUCUAAAAUGAAUCAAUUAGAAUCCUUUUUUUAUAAUUCGAAUUAUUCGAACUAAACGAUCAUCGACAACAAUACCUUCUUCUUCAAUGUACGUUCUUUUAAGUUUUGCUAUANUAAGUUUUGCUAUAUGCUGGAUCAAUGCUUCUUUUUCCUUCUUCAGAUAUUUCAUAUUCUUCAUCUCAUACGCUUCCACUCUUGAAAUUAUUUCAAAGCUCUUUUCCUACAAGAAGAAUAUCAUCAUCUUCAAAAUAUACACCCAUAAGAGAAUGGUGAACAAGAUCCAUAUUGUAAUAUACCACUUCAAUAUCUAUCAUCAACUUGAGCGAAAACAUCUCUUCUAUCUUCUUUCGUCGAAAAUUAUGAAUAUAUGUCCGGUCCAACAUAAUUCUACAUGACGAUCAAAGACAAAAAUCAUAAUUUCAUAAAUUGAUGUAAAAAAAUGAUAUAAGAUUCAUAAUUAAUCAUUUUUCGACAACUUAAAUUAUUAAGAUGUAUAAACGAUUUUGCACAAGUCACAUCAAAAUCAAUAAAACUUGGAUCUUGAAAAUGGACCUUCUUUGGGCGGAGGAAUCAGUGUUGGUUUUUUCAUAAUUAUGUCUCUGCUUCUUCAACGGGGCAGAUGGUGCACCAUCAAUUGAGAUGAAACCUCUUUUCUUAUUAGGGAUUUCUAUGACAUCAAUUUUUUUCGCAAAGAGAGAGUCAGAUCGAGCCGAUGAGUCUACCAUUAUGGAUGAAUAUCGAAUAUUGCAGUAGGAGAUGAUGAGGAUGAGGAUGAUGGUGAUUAUGAGAAUAGGAAGGAAGAUGAAUAGAUACAUCAUCUUCUUGGGUUUUUACUCUGAAGAAUAGUGAUGAAAUGAGUUUUUGAGUGAAGGUAUAUAAAGACUUAAUUUGUGGACAUAUCAAGAUUUUAAUGACAACAUAUUAAAUGAGAGCAUCAAAUUAAGUAAUGCAAAUCUACUUUAAAGUAUAUAUAUGAAUGGUAAGUUAAUUGUCUACCUUCCUUAAUCAUUUGCAUGCCUUACAUGAGAAAAUAAGAGAUGCAACAUUAAUAAAUUUAAAGAUUAUCUUAAAAAUUGACAUGAAAUAUAUUUGUUGAUCGCUCUAAUCGAUCGAAUUUAAGGAUGGAAAUCCAUGUUAAUAUAUAAUAUUACUAGGAAUUGCAUACCGAGUUACAAACCAUUAUAAUAAGUUAGCGAAGAGUAUACACAUCAUAAAAUCAAAUGACUAAGUCACUGUGGAUUCUUAAUAUGCACUCUUAAUUCUCGUAUCUUAAUGAGCCAGUGUUGAAAUUUUCGAUCAAUCAUUUUUUUCAUAAAGAAAAGUGUUAAAAAAAGUAAAAUUGAGAAUCUGAUCAACAUUUUUAUUUUAUGAAAAUUCCAUUUUUAAUAUUGGAUAAUUAAAAAUUAUUUUGUACACGUAUUAAAGUUUUCAUUUGAGAUAGUUAAUUUAAAGUUUAGUGAUCGGUAAGUUUAAAAUAAAAAAUUUACUGUCCAUUAAACUUUAUAACUAUCAAAUUAUGUCAAACAUAGUAAAAUUUAUGUUACACGAGAGAUCCAAGGUGUACAAUUCAUCUGACAUGAACAAAAUCCAAAUAUAAAAACUCAAACCGGGCACAAGCACAAUCCACACACAAAAUAACACACCAAAGAAUUACAGAUACAAGGGAAAGGUUUCUCGUCUCACUGUGAUACAAGAAAUCUAUUUCGAUCGAAUAUAUGUUUGUCCGGACCAUUUCAAUUAACGACGCGACAGUUGUUCCUGACCUCUCCAGCACUCCCAGUAACAACCUGAAGAUUUCCCAUCUUGACCAUCGACGUCGCAAAAUCCGCCGCGAACUUCGUCGGAUUACUACUGUAGGUCAUCACAAGCUUGUCGCUGGCACUGUUCCCAGUUCCAAACAGUUCCUGGUCGGAGUGUAGAAGGCCUCUGUUCCGGACAAGAUCACUGUAGUAGUCGGUAUUGAACUGGGCCGGAGUCGAAUCAAGCGGCUUGAGGUUGUUGUCGCCACCGGUAGGAGGGCAGGACCUCUGUAAGGAAGCGGCCAAUCUAGGUUGGAUGUUGGUGUCGUUGUAGAUGUGGGCGCGAAAAGUGGUGCAGCGAGCUAGCCCGAUGGUAUGGCCUCCGGAGAGCGCGACUAGGUCGGUGAGGUCGAGGCCUUGGGCUUGGAAGCUGGAGAUGAGUUGUGAGAAGCUAUAGAACGGCGGUGGGAGGUUGUUGUUUGCGGCGGAGAUGCUGGCUGUCUUGGCGUCUCUUCUUCCUACUAGGACUUGGUACCAGAAUUGUGGGCCACCCAACUAUAUAACAUGAUUAACAUUCAAAGUAAUUAAAACAAAUGACUGUGGCUCGAUUUUUGUAGUGAAAGUUGGAUCGAAUUUUAAAUAUUAUUUUACUCAGACAACAGGAUGUUAGAUCCCGAUAGUGAUUUUAGAGAAUGAAGGUUACUGUUUCCAUCUGUGGUGGAGCCACUUUGUUGGUUGGGGUUGGGUCGAACCGACCGAACAUCCUCUGCCGGUUAAAAACAUUCCACUUUAUGCAUAGGCAUAGUUUGAUCACAAAAUCGAAAUUAAUAUUUUCUUCUUACCUACAUAAACUAUUAUCAUUUCUGUCACACAGAUGACUUAGUCUAAAAAUUUAUUCAAUUGCAUGUAUAUACAAAACAACUUCAAUUAACCAACGAUAAUCUUAUCAUGAUUCGUUGUAAAUAGUGUCCAUUAAACUAAUAUUCAUUUCUUGUAAAAAUAUUCAGUACUAAAGACUUUCUAUGCCGUUGAGAUCAGUUGACUUUUCUAUAUAUCUUUUUUUUAUGGUAUAUUAGUAUGAUUGAGGGGGUGUUGAGUUGGGAUGCUUACAAAAGAGACCGAAUCGCGAGCAGCGACAGCUAAGAUGUCGGCGCAAGAGACGACGCUGCCUUUGCAUGCUUUGUCAACUGCGGACUUGAUUUCGUCAACGACAUCAAACCCUCUAACCGAGUUCAGGUUCGGGGCAGCAGUUUUCUCCCCAGUAAAGCUUGAUGUAUCGUCCAAAAGAAUUGACCCGUCGCAUCCCUGAAUGAAUGAAUUUCAUAUCUCACAAUAUUAUAUUAUAAUUAUAACUCGUCAUAUAGAAAAAAAAACACAAGACAAACUAAUAAGGAAACCAGUGCAUACGUACAUUGACGAAGCAGUCAUGGAAGUGGAGACGAAGCAGUGAUGCACCCAUACGAGGUUCAUCUCUGAUGGCCUUGUUCACUACCCUUUUUAUAGUGGGCAACGCUUCGGGACAAAUAGUUUCGUAAAAGUUUGAUGUUAGUUGUGCAGAAAUAGAUUGGAUCAGGAAGAAAGCUGAUACUGCAAGCGUGAGGAAAGCUUUGGAACCUGCCAUUAUAUAUGCACCAAAAAAUAAAUAGCUAGAAGAUUGAUGAGUUUGGCAGUGUGCACAUACAGUGUGGCUUUAUAUAUAGGUGCUUUUGUGCUUGCAAGUAACUUGUGUGUUUGUGUACAGCUAUCCUUUCGUAAUCAAAGUUUGUUGAAAAAUUCUUGUGUGAGAGGGACAUGAAACUGGACAGAAUUAGCCAGAGAUUGACUAUUAAUUUUGAUCAACAUAUGUUAUAAUAUUACUAACAGCCGGUGGUGUGAAUUAUUCGUAUAAUAUUGGCCUGUUUUUAUCGUUGAAUGAGCUCUUUAAGGAGCACAAAUAUAACAUCUCUUGAAGGAACCUAAAUCUAAGUAGAACUAUUUCUAUUUCAUAUUGCCGGCCAUUUUCAGGUUUUUUUUGAACAAAUGAAACCGAUAUGCAUUCCAGAAUAUGAUCGAGACGAAUGUAUGGAAGUGUCUACCGAAGGUACAGACUCCACAUGGAGCUGUAUAGGCCGCGGGUCCCUGCAAUUACAGAAACCUCAAUUCUUGCUCACCACCUAUGACAACAAGAAUGGAAAGGGGGAGUGCUACAACAUAUUACACUAAAUAUGACACUACAUAGUCCUAGCUACUGGACUAAGGGUAGUCCUUAAUCCUGUACUAUUACAGCACUAGCUCUGUAACCGGUCCGUACCAACAUUUUACUCGAGUGUGAAACCCGGUAGAUGGCCGAGCUUUGUUUAUGUGGUGAUUUCUGGACCUUGCUUCCGAUUAUGCCUUCAAUUUCCAUGAGAUCCAAAGAUGUCUCCUCGCAGCGGCAACGUUUACUAUUAGUAUCCUAGAUUCGCAUCAUAGUUUGCUCCGAACUCUGUAGCCCCAAAUUGUUCCCCAAAUUGAGCACCUGAAAGUUGGUUUGAUCCCCCGCGGGAUGAGGUGUUGCGUUGCGCACUCUGGGACAGCUGGCAAUACUCCAUUGUGUUGUCUUAGCUGCUUGAGCUUCCCGCCGUGAUGGUACCUUGAUCGAGUCAUCCUAUAGGAAAGGAAAUUGCACCGCCGGGAAUUGAAACCGGAGGGGACACUUCUUCUCUACAUGCCCUAAAAUACCACAAAUGUAACAGAAACAUGAGAGUCUCUCGUAUUUAUACUUACAAGUAAUAUCAGCUCCGUCAUGAUUUAUCACGGGUCUCUCCUUCAGUAGCAGUUUCUAAAUAUCCAGGACUACACGGAGGUGCAUAUACGCAUUGGUGAAGAACAGAUUGUUCUUCUCGUCCUAAUCCAGGUAGCGCCCUGCUGAGUUUGCUAGUGCCAUCCCUAGUACUGGAAUGGAGAAAUAUCCAUUCAUAUUAUGUAUCUGGAUCCAUAGGUUCACUUCCUUUGAUAGAACAGUUUGUGGGUUCUCCUCCUAUCACAGGCCCGAAAUCGAUGGCGUUCCGUACAUCGAAUUUGGUGAUCAAAACGAAACAGAAAUCACUGAUUUUCCAAUGUCGUGAUCUCAACUCCGUGCUCCAGUUGCCCUGUGUCGAUAGAAUGCGACACAUUUGGACAAGAUUUAUGUCCUUCUUGGUGAGGACGGUCCCGACCACACAGAGUACAAAACCCAAGGCUGGCGGUUCUUCUACCAAGUCGGCCAGUUAUAAAGCUGCUACCGAUGGAAUCAAUAUUUCUGGACGAAUGUUCGUGAGGGGAGCGUUUGCUCCCGCUGGUAUCCCUGUCAUCGUUGCGGCUCUUACUCCCGUCAAUCCUCCCUCCAUCAAUUGAGGGACGGGAUCUAGAGAUCCUGCCGCGAGUGUGGGUUGGGGGUGGGGGUUGUUGGUUUGGGAGGCAUGGCAGGCGUGAUGGACUUAUUAUAUAAGUUAGAAUCGUGAUUAGAAACUAGAAAUAUAGAGGGCAGAGAUAUAUUUUUUUGAUGGCGAGUUCUUCUAGAAGGAAAGGGAGAAUUAAAGAGAGAAGACAGAGCAGGUCGGUCUAGGAUCAAGGAUGACAGACUAUAUAGGAAGGCUAGGGGAUUCACGAGAAGGUAAUCAAUCCCUUAUGUUCUCCCUUAAUUUCCUAGAUUAAAACCAACGUAGGGAAAUUUGACAGAUAGGGUUUUUGGGAGAUUCGAUCCUUGAUUGAUCUCUUCAGGUAUACAGAACAGGAGAUUGCACACUAGGAAAGGUGCUUCAGAUCAGACUCUACCAGGAAAGCGUAUCUUAGGUGGAGGUCUAAGAUUACUUUCUACUUUAAAGUGUAGAACUAUAAUUCGGUUGUCAUGAAUCCAAAGAUUGGAAUUCAUGUGAAAUAGAAGAGAGCUCUGGGGCCGCAUAGUAGCUUCUGUUCUACUGUACAUGCGUUUAUGUUAUGAUUACAGAGCAGGGCUCUGGGGCCAUACAGUAGCUCAUGUUCUACUGUGCAAGCAUUUAUGUUAUGAUUACAGAGUAGGGCUCUAUGGUUGUACAGUAGCUCGUGUGCUACUGUACAUGCGUUUAUGCUAUGAUUACAGAGCAUGGCUCUGAAACCGUACAAUAGCUUGUGUUUUCCUGUAUCGGGGUUUAUAAUUUGAGCAUAAGCUCAUGGUACUCAACUGUGAAGACAUAGUUCAUGAUUUGGACAAGAUUUAGGUUUAGCUAGAUUAGCUUCCGAUAUGCGUUGCUCAGCCACUCAUGGAUUGUGCAAUCCCCCAUGAUGUUUCUAUGACUACGACAGACGUGUCCAGUAUUCCUACAGAUGUUGCUCACACGAUAUCUACGACUACGAGAUGGUUUCGUGGUUUGAUCCACCACGAGUCUAUCAACUAUUAGCUAGGGGUGACUAAUGAUAGGAUGAUGCCUACAGGACCACAUGGUCACAUUACUAUAUUGAGGGAUUAGUUAGAUCUUCUUCGUCUAUCCUCUUGGUAUAGUCACAGUUCCACGUGAGUCUAGUUUAGCCAUUUAGUGCUUAUCACUGACCCUGUUACUUUUAGUUUUCCCUAUUCUAUAUGUGUGUCUAUUCAUAGGUACUGGAGUUAAUGGUGGAGAGAGAGCUGGUUGGGAUUUUGUUAUCUUUUGAUAUCAUUUUGAUGUAUUUAGAACAUGAGUUGCAUCUCCUCUUUGUUGUGUUGAGAUGUGUUAUGUUUUGGGAUCCGAGAUCCCCUUGGUUAGUUUAUUUAACUAUUUUAGUCGUCGUUUUAUGCUUAUUUAAAUGCGUUGGUAGUAGCUUUAGAGUUGAGUUCGGUUCACGUUGAAACCCGAGUAAGGUUUCUUUGGUUGAACCAAUUGUUCGACCGGAACUUCUAGGGUGGGGGUUUUACAUUAUAUUUUCAUCGGGGUUGUAAAUAAUUUCCUCCAGCAUUGACGUGACUGUUGACUUGGCAUCCUAAUUCACUUAAGGGAACGACUCUGGUGCGUAUUUGUACGACAUACAAAUGCUACAUGAUGGUCUGUCAUUUGUGCCAAUUGAAUUGAACAAAAACCCAUUGAACUCUUUAAUAUCUACUAGUUGAAAUCUUGAUCACCCCAAAAAUAUGUAACUUUUCAGUAAUACGGCGUUGGCCGUAUGAUCUUCUUUAAUAUGUUUGUUUUAAUUAAUUUAUUAGAUCCACUUCAUCGUCUUCUUCUCCAAGAGAAAGAGGUAUGCGGAAGCCAAAGUUUGACGGAAUUAGAUAUAGGAUUAUUUCAUUUUUCUGAUGACAUAGUUACAUUCUUCGACAAAUUUAGGUAUUAACUCAUCAUAUUCUUUUAAUUAAAAAACAACUGUCAAUGAAAAUCUGUCACGUGAUAUUUAUACAGGAUACACAUUUGUAUCAGAGAAUCCGCCUUUACAACCGAGCAUUCUCAGUCUCAGUAUGAAUCAAAGUUGCAUAUUAUUUUCUAACGAAUUCUAAUUCUGCAACGAAUGUGUACUCAGAGUCUUAUUUAAGUUUUAGCAUUGAGAACCAGUCUCAAUCACUUAAAUGUGGUUGUUUGGCUUCACUCAAACAAUAUAUAGUAACAAAUACCAAAAUAGUUUAUCAAUUUUAGAAAUAAAUUUUACAGGUUUAUCAUUUAUGAACCCCUAAUUCUUCUCCUUGAACAUGUGGUAUGGACGAUUGGUUAGGUGCUAAUUAGCUUGCUCUUUAAUCAUUAUGAAUUAAAAAGAUGCCCCAAUCAUUUAUAAUCUAGCUUAUGACUAAAUGUCGAUGAUAUGUACAAAAAUAACUUGUAAUCGACUUAAUCGUAUUAAUCAAACGAAUUCAAUCUGUAUUUAACAGUCAAUAAAUUGUCUUUUAAAUUUUACUUGGAUUUGUCCAUUCUAUCUUUUUUUAUGUAUAGCUUUUUAAAAAAAAUUAUCCAUGUAUAACUAUUCAUUUAUAUAUGGUGUACUACACAUCUCUUAUUCAAAUAAAAGAAAAAAUUUAUAUUAUCCAAACCAAACUUUAAUAAAAAAGUGGGUUUUAACUUUUAUAUUUGACGGUUUGAAUAUGUAUAAAAAAUUAUUGUUAAUCAAGAACUAUAUUUAAAUUACUUUAAAAGGAUAAUAGUCUAUCCAAUCGCCCACGUUAUGGCUACUCGAUAGGAUCCCACUUAUUGAUCAUCCCCCACCUGCUAUGAAAAUUAGAUAAAUUUACAGAGCACAUGAUAGAAUAAUAGAAGCACCAAUAUUUAGAUCAAACUCUCAAGUCAAUUAAUUAAUUAACGAUGAGACAAUUCUUUCUGAUCUUCCCAAUAUUGCUAGUGAGUGGGUUCAUGUUCCCCAACUUAACCAUCGACCCUGGAAAAUCUGUCGCGAACCUUUCCCGAACUGCUUCUGAUCAGAAUGUGAUAGUGUUAGGAUUUGUAGUGAUUAUCUAUCCCUAUCUGCGUGCUUUUUGAGUGAAUAUUAGCUUGUUCGUGUUCCAUUUUUGUAUGGUUUUGUGUUUCGGCAUUGUAUGCCUAGACUCGUUCACUUGGACCGUUUCGAUCUAUGUGAUGUGUUUCUUUGUAGUAUUUGUUAUCCACAUGUACUGAUCGCUGAAAUAACUUCACAAUUAAUUCCACUACACAAGUGUCGUUUGUGUCCAAACGUUCCACGCGUUAUGUUUCUACUCAAACUUGCCAACACGAUUUAGACUAACAGAAUUGGUUUUCGAUUAUAGUUACUCUAAUGGUUAAUUAAAACUAACAGUUUAAAGGUUGAUUCAAUGGGAGAAAAUGAGUUCUCGGAAGAGAUGAUUCAUCAAGCUCAAUUUCCAAAACGCAUUCAAAAUGAACAAAUGUUGUACUUGGAUUGAAUAAAAUGAAUCCUCCUAUCACUCGUAUGAAUUCGCGGCACGAUCAUACACACGGAUUACCAUUACUAGCUUUCCAACUAAGGUAGAAAUAACCGUAAUCAGGCUAUCCGGUAAUGAAUACCGAGAAGUUCUACAAAGUGAUAAGGUAUUUUUCCGGAAUUAAAAGAAAUCACGAGUAAUCGGACAUAGCGUUAACUUGGUCCACCAACGCCUAAACUACUGGUAACUACAGCCAACUUGGUCCAUUGGGUGCAAAUCAGAGUGCCCGCCAAUUACAAGAUACAUAACUUUUAAAAUUAGAAGAAACACAAAAGGUAGAAUUUGGUUGGCAGCUUACCCCACCAAUAACUUUCAUUUAUCUUUGACCAUUUAUCUUAUGAAUUUCUACGUCGAUCAAACAGAGAAACUCAUAGAUUUGACCUAAUUAUUACCGUAACAAGAAUUAGGUUGAAAAGUUCAACAAUCAAAGCAAACUGUCAUUCACAUCCAAUUAUCCACAAUCCUCGUUUCUAAAUGUUCAAGAUAAGUAUCAUGGCUCAAAUCCUACAUCUUAACAAGGAAAAUCAAAGACUUAGCUACUCAUAACUCUAGAAGAAGACAAAUCAAAAGAACCCUAACCAUCAUCUUGCUGAAGAGAUAACAGUUUGUUCUUCUUCCAAUCGUCGCUUUUAGUCUUCCAGCUUCAAUAUUUGAUAAGAACACCUUUGGAUCUUCAAUUGAGCUUCUAGGGAAGGAUGUAUGCUGGUUUUUUGUAGAGAGAAGGAGGGAAAAAUUGAGAGAAUUCAAGUUUGGGGAAGAAUCUAACUCUUUCCUCCAAAAUCUGCCCUUUUAUAGGAAGCUGCCAAAACUGAAGGGUGCACACCAUGCACCUCCUUACCUUCAAAAUUUCGUGUAUUUAAACGGGGGGACGACGUGCAGGAGUGCAUGUUGUUCCCCUUUUUUAGGGCCGAGAUUUUAAAGCAUCCUAAUGCUGCACGGAGUGCGACCCCUCUGCUCCAUUUCAUUUCUUGAUCUUCCAUUCAAGCUCUAAUCGUGCUCUACUUCACAUCCAUAGCUUCAUAACCAGACCACCUAUCUCUAGAGUACCGCUGGAAAAUGAAUACUACAAAGAAACACAUCAAAUGGACCGAAACGGUCCAAAUGAACAGGUAUAGGCACAUAAUGACAAAACACGAAACCACACGGGAACGAAGCACGAACUAGCUAAUAUCCACUCAAAAAGUGUGCAAAUAAGGAUAGAUAAUUACUACAAAUCCUAGCACUAUCAGGUAAUCUAGAGAGAAGUGGUCUAAAUAUGGGGCCAUGGAUGUGGAAUAGAGUACGGUUGGAGUUUGAAUAGAAGAACAGAACAAGGAAUGGUGAAGAAGAAGGGUUGCACAACGUGCAUCACUACACCCCGUGCAGGCCCUAAAAUGCAAAAUAGCCUCAUAGCAAAAGGGGGUACACGGCAUGUAGUCAUUUUUACAACAAAACUUUUUUUCAGAAAAAGGGGGUGCAUGUACGGCGUGCACCUCCCAGAUUCAGCAGUUUCUCUGUAAAAGACUAAUUUUGAGGAAAGAGAAAGAAGAUCUUCUCCAACAAAUUUUCCUCCAGUUUUCACAGAUUUUUCUCUGCUAAAACACCAUAUCUCCAUCCCUAGAAGUCCAAUUGAAGAUCCAAAGGAGUUCACAUUGAUUAUUGAAGCUAGGAUUGAAGCUAGAAGAUCAAAAGCGAUUGGAUCGAGAUCAAGUGAUUCUCUCUUCAUCAAUAUGGUGGUUAGGUCUUUUCCUAUUUUGUCUUCUUCUAGAGUCAUGAGUAGCUAAUUCUUUUGAGUUUCAUGGUUGGGAUGUAAGAAUUGAGCUAUGAUACUCUCCCUAAAAGUAUAGGGUCGAUGACUGUUGGAUAAUUUGAUUUCAAUGAAAGAUUUCUUUGAUUGUUGGGUUUCUAACCUAGUUAUUGUUACGACUUGAAUUAGGUCAAAUGUAUGAAAUUCUCUGUUUGAUCGACUUAGGAAAUCAUAUGAUUAACAAUCUAAGAUAGAAGAAAUGUAUCGGUGGGGUAAGCCGAUAGCUCAAUUCUACCUUUCAUGCUUCUUUUGGUUUUAACGGUUGUUCAUCAAAUAAUUGGUGGGCGUUCUGGUUUGCUCCUGAUGGACCAAGUUCGGUGUAGUUAUCAUUAGGUUUGGUGUUGAUGGACCAAGUUAACGCUAAUCCCAAUUACUUAUGAUUUCCUUUAAUUCUUAAAGAGCACCUUAUCACUUUGUAGAACUUCUCGGUGUUCAUCAUCAGUUAGCCUAAUUGAGGUUAUUCCAACCUUGAUUGGGAUGCUAGUAGUGGUAAUCCGCAUGCAUGAUCAUGCGUGGAUUCAUACAAGUGAUAAGAGGAUUCGUAUUGUUCAAUCCAAGUCAAACGUUGUUCGAUCUGACUACUAUUUGGAAGUUGAGCUUGAUGAAUCAUCCCUUCCAAGAACUUGUAUUCUCCUCCUAAGUUAAAUCAUAAUUAUUAGUUUUAAUUGAAUCAAUAGAAUCAUUAGAAACUUUAUCAAUUUUUUCAGUUUAGACCGUGUUGACGAGUUUGAGUAAAAGCAUAACGACAGGAAUCCUUGGACACAUAUGACACUUCUGUUGUGGAGAUAACUUCGCAGUUAUUUUGGCGAUCAAGUUUAUGGCGCCGUUGUUGGGGACUCUCUCUCGUUCCUUUGAAUGAACUUAGUCAGCGCCGCUUUAGACAUUCGACUCCCAUGUAUAGUAUUACUUUUUUUUUUGUUUUUCUCCCACUUUAUUUAAAUGGGUUGUUAGUGUUUGAGGUCAUAUACAAGGUUAUAGUUGGAAUGGAGAGAGGCAAGGUCCCUAUGAUGUAAGUAAUGGAGAUGAAGGUUGGAGUUCAUAUCCUAACCCACACCAACAGUAUGAGCAUCAAGGUCCAUCGAAAUACUACCAACCUAGCUAUGAAGGACAGCAACAAUAAUGGUGUACCUUUGGGCAAGGAGCAAUGCAGAGUUGGGGUGAACACCAAUCUCCAAAACCUUUCUACCCAGAAUCACCUUCAAUUUACCGUCACCAAGACUCACCUUUGAUCUACUCCCACCAAGGCCAAAAUCAAGACCAUCCACCUUUUGAAGACCAAUGCUCAAGACUUGAUUAUUCAUAUCAAUCCCGUCCUUUUGUGCAUGAGUGAUAGUGCUAGGAUUUGUAGUAAUUAUCUAUCCUUAUCUGAAUGCUUUUUGAGUGAAUAUUAGCUUGUUCGUGUUUCAUUCCCGUGUGGUUUCAUGUUUUGGCAUUAUGUGUCUAGACUCGUUCAGUUUGACCGUUUUGGUCCAUUUGAUGUGUUUCUUUGUAGUAUUUGUUAUCCACAGGUACUCUAGAGAUAGAGUGUCUGUUUAUGAGUCUCUGGAUAUAGAAUAGAGCAUGAUUGGACCUUGGACGGAAGAACAAGACAAGAAUUGGUGAAGCAGAGGAGUCGCACGCCGUGCAUCACUACAUGUCGUCCAACCCUAAAUCUCAAAUUGGAUGCGUAGCAAAAUUCAAGGAAUGGCGUGCCGUCCCCCUUUUUUUAGGACGUGAGCAACUUCACCACAGGGGGGGCACAGCGUGCACCUCCCAGAAUCAGCAGUUUCCCUAUAAAAGGUUGAUUUUGAGGAAAGAGAAUCAUACUUUCCUAAAACGAAAUGCUUCAACUUUUUCAUGACCUCUCAUCUGAUAAAAAACCAUUCUUCAUCCCUAGAAGUCCAAUUGAAGAUCAAAAGGAGUCGCCAUUGACGAUUGAAGCUAGAAGAUUAAAAGUGACAAUUGGAGCAAGAUCGAUCCAUCGUCUCCUCAUCAAGAUGGUGGUUUGGUGGAAUUCUGAUUUGUCUUCUUCUAUAAUCAUGAGUUGCUAAUGCUUUAGAGUUUCUUGGCUGAGAUGUAGGAUUUGAGCUAUGAUACUCUCCUUAAAAGUAUAGGGUCGACGAUUUUUUGAUAUUUGGAUUAAAAUGAAUGAUUGCUUUGAUUGUUGGGUUUUCAACCUAGUUCUUAUUACGACUUGAAUCAGGUCAAAUCUAUUAAAUCCUUUAUCUGAUAGAUUCUAGAAUUCAUAUGAUUAGCAAUCUAAGAUAGAUGAAAGUUAUCGAUGGGGUAAGCCAAUAGCUCAAUUCUACCUUUCGUGUAUGUUUUAGUUUUAAAGGUUGUUCAUCUUGCAAUAGGCGGGAGCUCUGAUUUUCACCUAAGUAAAUCAAAAUUCUGAUAACUCGUGAUUUCCUUUAAUUCUAAAAGAGCACCUUAUCAUUUUGUAGAACUUGUCAGUGUUCAUUACUGGUUAGCCUAGUUGAGGUUAUUCCAACCUUGAUUGAGAAACUAGUAGUGGUAUUCCGCGUGCAUGAUCGUGCCGCGGAUUCAUACUAUGGAUAAGAGGAUUGUAUUAUUUAAUUCAAGUUUAACGUUUGUUCGAUCCGACUACUAUUAGGAAGUUUGAGCUUGAUGAAUCAGCUCAUCAAAGAGCUUGUUUUCUCCCAUUUGAUCAAACCUUAAUUGUCUGUUUUAAUUGAAUUAAUAUGAUUGUUAGAAACCCUUUCCAAUCUGUUUCAUCUAGACCGUAUUGACGAGUUUUAGUAGAAGCAUAACGAGAAUAUCUUUGGACACUUACGACACUUGUAUUGUCGAGAUAACUGUGAAGCUAUCUUGGCGAUCAAGUUUUUGGGGAAUCGUAUUAUUUAAUCCAAGUCCAACAUUUUUUCGAUCCGACUGCUAUUAGGAAGUUGAGCUUGAUGAAUCAUCUCAUCCAAAAGCUUGUUUUCUCCCCUUAAUCAAACCUCAAUUGUCCGUUUUAAUAGAGUUAAUAGGAUUGUUAGAAAGUCUUUCCACUCAAUUUCGUGUAGACUGUGAUGACGAGUUUGAGUAAAGCAUAAUGAGAGCAAUCCUUAGACACAUACGAUACUUAUGUUGUCAAGAUAACUUCGCUGUUAUUUUGGCGUCAUUGUUGGGGACUCUCUCUAGUUCCUUUGAAAGGACUUAGUCAGCGUCGCUUUUGACAUUCGACUCCAUAUAUAGUUUUAUUUUGUUUUUAUUUUUCUCCCGCUUGACUUACUUGGGUUGUUAGUGUUUGAUUUCAUAUGCAAGGUUAUAGUUGGAAUGGAGAGUGGCAAGGUCCCUAUGGUGCAAGUAAUGAAGAUGAAAGUUGGAGCUCAUAUCCUAACCAACACCAAAAUUAUGAGCAUUAAGGUCCACCAAACUACUACCAACCUAGCUAUGAAAAAGAGCAACAACAAUGGAGUAACUUUGGAUAAGGAGCAAUGCCAAGUUGGGAUGGACACCAAUCUCCAACACCUUUCUACUCAGACUCACCUUCAACUUACUAUCAUCAAGAUCAUCCACCUUUUGAAGAUUAGUGCUCACGGCUUGAUUAUUCGUAUCAAUCCCCUCCUGCUGUGCAUGAGCAACUCCUUAUGCAACUUGACGAGGGUCACUGCCGACUAUAGUUAUUAACCGAACAAACUCGCCUUUUGACAUGACUUGUGGCGGAGCAUCCUUUCCUACUACAAUUGGAGGGGGUUGAGAUGAAUGACUAUGAUUUGGGUAUGACAUACAAGGAAAUAGAUGAAGAAGAAUUGAAGGCAUCAACCUUCUUUAACGGCAAGUGACGUCAGGGUUUUCUAAGCCCAAACAAUCAAAUGAUCGUGAGAUGCCUCAGCGUCGAAUUCUCUUGGGUCACUUGGCCUUCACUACUCAGCUUUGAUUCGCUGGUUAGUCGGUCACAAUUUGGAAACAGUUUUAUCCUAAACUAUAAAAUGAAAACAAAACAACUACUAGAGGAAACGGGAAACUAGGAAUUCAAAUAUAUCACUCGAUGGCUACGAAUCAAAUUAAGGUGAGAACGACUGUGGGGAAAGGCCUUGUUCGAGUUUUGGAUCAUCCUAAGGACUAUGGGAAACCGUUAGCAGCAGAAUAAAAAAGAACAUGGAUAACAAUAAGUUGGUCUUAGGAUUGGGUCUGUUAACUGAACGACCUAAGACCACUCUCAACACGUACAAGUAUCCGCUCAACAAAAAAUUCAGCAACAAUCUCCCAAAAAAACCCAAAUCAGGAAAACUGAGAAAAACUGCGAAUCAAAUGGAAACAGGAUAAUCGAGGCAACAUGAUAACAAAACAAAUCAUCAAUAAACAUGAAUCCACAAUCAUAUCACUACACACAAGAACAAUCUCAUAAAUCCAAAGGAAUUCAUAAAACCCAAACAAGAAGUAAACCUAGUUCUCCGGGAAGCUGUAGAGAAUGCUGCAAACCGCCAAUCCAUCAAAGUAGAAGGUAGAUCCUCGGUUCGCCUUUGAUUCCUCCACUAUUUGGCUUCAAAUCUUCAUUCCCAUGGCGUUCCUAGGUUCCCAAGCACUUCCCCCUUUGUCAAAAUGUGUUUUAGUUCGUCAUUUUCUGACUUCCCCCUUCUGAAAUCGCGUCUGGUGAUGAAUUAAUUCUGCUGCCUAGAAUAGGCGUCACGAGCGUGACAGGUUACCCAUCGCGGCCAUGACACCUAUCACGGCCAUGACAGCUUAUGUCACGGCCUUAACUAGUCAACAGCUGUAUUGAUCGACUUCUUUCGGCCAUAACUUCCUCAUUCGGACUCUGAUUUCGCUCUAAAAGGUACUAUCCACUUCAUAUUCGAACCCUCUAUCCAACGGAUACAUGAAAUCAAGUAAUAGACUCCAAGAAACAAGUGAAACAGACCGAAAUGGUCCGUUCAAGAGGAAACAAGCACGAAAUGCACUAAUGAUCAAACCGGGCACUUAUAACCAUCAAAUAUCAUCAAAACCGGAGCAAAAACUUAUCAAGGUAGGGUCAAUAUGGCUACCAAUAAUCAAGCUAUCAAAUCCAUCCACACUUGAACGUUGCUUGUCCUCAAGAAAAUCUACUAAUCACACCUGAAGAGAACUCGAAUCAUGGUGAAAAGAAAGACAUAGCCUAGCAUUUCAAGCCUACUUCACGAUGCCAAAAUUGCAAGUCGAUCACCAAAUCACUCAAUUAUGUACAAGACACCGAAUCCCUUAAAAAAGUUCACACCAAACUCAAACAUAUAGAGAUUAUGACUAAACACCUAAUACAAGCGAAUAUACAAGAGUUUCUCCAUUGCAUUUAUAUCUUGUGGUACUAGCGGAAGAAAUGGACAGACGGAUGGUCCUGCCUGGGUAUUUUUCCAAUCCUGAAGGAGGGGAUGCCUAAUCGUAACACAACUAUCACCAAAAAUACUAGCAUUCCUUCUUAGUUUAAUAUGCUUUUCUUUCUUUUUUAUUGGUUUUCAACUAACUCUUCUUCCCCUCUUUUCUUUACUUUUUUCGAAGAGAAUUGUUACAACCAUGGCCGGACUCGAAAGUACCUAGUCCCCGUCCCGCGCCCCAAACCUCAUAAAGGUUGGGAAGAAGGCGGACCUUAAGGGUCACCACACGUGUUUAGGUUGUAACCAAACCCAAAGGUAUUUUUAUUCAAGCAUCCUCAUUCAAAUCCGUCCCAUCGAUUUUGACUUGAUAACACCAGAAACAAGCUCGACAAAGAGAAACUAUCAUACAUAUCAAACAAGUAUAGGGGAAAACUCAUUACUUCCAUAUGUACAAGUUCGAAGAAAACUAAUUUCAGAAAAACGGGAGGUGGUCCACAAAUGAUCUACUUAGCAACCUAUUCAUCCUCAAGUAGUAUGUAAAUACUAAGAAUGUAUACAAAGACAUCCACAUAUUCAAAUUCAAGACACAUCCACAGAUUCAAAUUCCAGAGGGAGAUUUGAAAAGCAAGAGUAAGCCACAAUAAGCAUCAAUACAAAUAAGAGGCUAAAAUGAACUAGCACCCUAAUCAUCCAACAACAACAAGCAUGGUACACUUUCACAAUUCCCCCACACUUAAACAUCACAUUGUCCUCAAAGGAACCAAAAUAUAAUAGAGUGGGAGAAAAUGUAUCGUGAAGAACAAUCACAAAGGAUGAAAAGUGGAACAACCCAAAACGAUGAUCCAAAAUAGAGUAAUCCAAGUCAAUGAUCAAAGGAAUGUUGGGAAACCUGAAACAAACAUAUGAAAAGAAGAAAAGAGCACAGCACGGACAUCAACCACCACAAGCAGAAGUGCUUAAUGGGGUGAAAACAAAUCCACAUUAUCACAAUAGAGUAUAUCACAAAGUUCAAAUGAAAGAAAAAGAAAAAAAACAAAGAUUAAACACUAAAUGUCCUAUAAAGUCACACUAGAGUCAUUCAAAUAGGUUGAGUUUUGGGGAUUUUCUAUUUUUGAAAAGGGGGGAGAGGUUGCUGGACACCUUAGGCGUCACGGCCGGGGCAGGCCGAGCCCCACGGCCGCGGUGGGCUUUUAACCCCCCACACCCCCCUACGCAUCACGGCCGUGGUGGGUUUCAAACUCCCAAUCCCCCACUCUGAUUUUAAUUAAAACGAAGAGUUUUGACAAGAUGCAUCACGGCCGUGACAGGGUAAGAGUCACGGCCGUAACGAGCUUACAGACAGCAACUACUCAGUAAAUUUUCAUAGCAGAUGCAAAACAUUCUUCGCCCAACUAAACACCAAACAAUCACCGAAUUCACUCAAAUCAAGACCGACAAUACCCCAAAUUGACAUUGCAUACCAACCACAACAAAAUUUGACACUCAAGACAUCUAGAGAACGAUCAAGAACGAUCAUGCACACAAAUUAAAAGAAAAUGAUAGAAACUCAAGUUGCCUCUCGAAAGCGCUUUGUUAAUGUCAUUAGCUUGACGUGGUGAAGCGGAGGUAGAUUAGCAAUCACCAACCCAUCCAAGAAGCUCCUUGUAAUUCAUGUCAUCGUUAGUCUUUGAGUAGAUGUGAUUAGGGAAAGUAACUUGAAUGCUUCCCCAUUGUGGAUGAGUAAACUCAACACAACCGGUAAGAGUGGUAUCAAUCUUCAUCAAAAGACUGAGUAAAGGCAAAUCCUCCUUGCUCUUGGCUUGCUCAAUCAUCAUCAAUUCUUUGCGGUGCCUCUUCCUUUUCCUUCUACUUAGGCGCUUUCUUUUAGUUGCUCUAGUAGUAGGUUGAGAGAAUUUUAUUGAUGUUUCAUUUGAAGAGGCAGAAUCGCCAUUGAAGUGGUUGGUUUUAUAAGACCUUAGCCUCUUCGGGUUCAUCAUGAGCAUCUAUGACCAAGGGAGUGGUGCUAACAUUGUGAACUACAUAAAGCUCCUCAUCCUCUACACUUUUCAAAAAGUAGGAUGGAAUGUCAAUGUCUUCGACCAAAAGAGGAGGACUAGGAAUUAUACCCUUUCUCAACUUAGCCAUAUAAGAAUUCCCCUCUUCUUCAUCGGAGAAGUAGAACGGAAAUUCUUCAAUGUCGCCCUGUCUCAGCCUAGCCAAAAAAACCUUCUCAUCUUUAUACUCCUCCUCGAUCGCACCAACAUCUUUAAUUUGUCCCGCAACUUUAAUUCUUUCUCCAAUGUCAGUAUGACAAGCUCGAGUCUUGUGUUCCAAUUUAAAGAAAACAUCUUGGAGGAUUUCCAUUGUAUUUGACAAGCGAUCAAUCUUGUCUUCUUGCUUUACCAAUCUAGCCCCAAAAUGUCUUGUAACAUCACUUAACAACUUCUCAACACUUUUUUUUCCAUGAUAGGGCUUGAAGAGCUAGUUUCUUGUUGAGAUGCUCGGUGACUAUUUCUUUCUUCUUUGAGCUGGAAAGCAAUGACACUCAUGGACUCUUGAAGCUCUCCCAAAGAUGCUUCAAUCCUCGCAUUGUGAGCCGCAUGAAUAGCUAUAUCGGCACGAUAUCAAGCUUCAAUGUAUUGGAUUAGCUUGACAAUAUCUUCAUUGGAAGUGGAGGGACCAUAAUUCCCAUUCAUCGAGUCAUGAAAUUGAGAAUCACCAUGAAACCUAUACUGGUCUUGCCAAUUUGAAUAGCCUUGAUCAUUUGAGCUCCUAUUAGUGAAAUCACCAUAACCACAACCAUACUCGUUUUGAUAUCCAUAAUGAGCAUACGAGAAGCCUUGAUUAGGAGAGUCAAACUGCAUUUGUACAUGGUUAUCCAUACUUCGUCCUGCAAACAAAGUUGAACUAUCCAAAACAACAAAUACAGGAAGGGUGAAACAAAAAAAAAGACUAAGUCAAGUAUGUCCCCGGCAACGGCGCCAAUUACUUGAUCGCCGAAAUAACUGUAAAGUAAUUCCGACAACACAAGUGUCGUUUGUGUCCGAAGGCUCCUCUCGUUAUGCCUAUACUCGAACUCGUCAACACGGUUUAGACUGAAAUAGUGGUUUUUGAUUUUAAUUACUCUAAUGAUUAAAUUAAACUAACAAAUUAAGGGUUAGAUCGGAAGAGCGUCGUGUAGGGAAAGAGUGUAGAUCUNNNNNNAGUUCUUGGAAGAGAUGAGUCAUCAAGCAUCAAGCUCAACUUCUUAAAUGCAUUCAAAACGAACGAAUAUGGACUUCAAUUGAAUAAAAUGAAUCCUCCUAUCACUCGUAUGAAUCCGUGACACAAUCAUGCAUGCAGAUUACCAAUUCUAGCUUCCCGACUAAGGUACAAAUAACCUUAAUCAGGCUAGCCGGUAAUGAGCACCGAGAAGUUCUACAAAGUGAUAAGGUGUUCUUUCGAAGAAUUCAUGAGUAAUUGGAAAUAGUGUUAACUUGGUCAAUCAACACCUAAGCUACUGAUAACUACACCCAACUUGGUCCAUUGGGUGCAAACCAGAGCGCCCGCCAAUUACAAGAUAAAUAUCGUUUCAAAUUGGAAGAAACACAACAGGUAAAAUUAGGUUAUUGGCUUACCCCACCUGUAACUUAAUUCUAUCCUCGAUUGCAAAUCUUAUGAAUUCCUAAGUCUAUCAUAAACAAAGGAUUCCAUACAUUUGACUAAUUUUAGCCGUAACAAGAAUCAGGUUGAAACCCAAUCAAACGACACAAUCUUUCAUUACAAUCCAAACAUCCACAAUCGUCGUUCUUAAACAUUCAAACAUGUAUCAUCGCUCAAUUCCUACAUCUCAACCAAGAAUCCCUGCAAAAUUAGCUACUAAUGAUGCUAGAAGAAAACAAAUCAAAAGAAACCCUAACCAUCAUCUUAUCGGGGAGAUAGCGGCUUGUUCUUCUUUCAAUCGUUGCUUUUGGUCUUCUAUCUUCAAUCCUAGCUUGAAUCCUUGAAAGGAACUCCUUUGGAUCUUCAAUUGAGCUUCUAGAGGAGGGUUUGUGCUGGUUUUUGCAAAGAAAACUCGGGGAAAAUUGAGGAAAAACGAAGUUGGGGAAGAAUCUUCUCUUUCCUCAAAAACUGCCUUUUUAUAGGGAAAAGCCAAAACUAGAGGGUGUAUGCCGUGCACCUCCCUAUUUUCACUGUGUCGCAUAGAAUAAAGGAGGGAACGGCGUGGACCAGUGCACGCAGUGCACCUCCUAUUCUCCAAGGUUCCUCAUUGCAAAAAGAGAGGAACGGCGUGCAGUGGUGCACGCCGUUCCAGUGUUUUGAGGUCGAGCUCCUUGACAUGAUCAUGGACUGCAUAGCGUGCCGUCCCUCUGCUGUGCCAUUUUCUUUCUCGACUUCCCAUUCGAACUCUAAUCGCACUACACACCACGUCCUUGGCUUCAUAGCCAAAUCACAUAUCUCCAUAGUACUAUAGGUGACAAAUACUACAAAGAACACAUCAAAUGGACCAAAACGGUCCAAGUAAACGGAUCUAGACACAUGAUGCCAAUGAAUGAAAUCAUAGGGGAAUGAAGCUUGAACAUGCUAAUAAAAACUCAAAAGCACGCAUAAAAGGUUAGAUAAUUGCUACAAAUUCUAGCCUUGUUAGCAAGCUACUUCUCUCUGACGUUGGGGUAGAAGAAUCCGAAAGGGAGGAUGAUGGAGAGUGGAAGGAAGAAGUACAUGAAGAUAUAGCGCCUCCCAAAUUCAACAUUGCACCUCCACUUGAGCAACCCAUCAUUUGGCGUUUUCCUCGAGUCGUGAUUCCAAUGAGAACAAACGAGACCCUUCAAGACUCAUGUUUGGUUUUGAAGUACCUAUGUGAGGAAACUCACAAGGAGCACUUCCCACAUCGGUCUAGAACGGACCCCUCCAUCUCGGGACCACUCUUGGACGACCUCACCAACUGUCCGAGUACUACCAUUAGCUUGGGGAGCAUUGUAGACCUUGAUGUUCCCUCACCAACCUACCUCUACCCUCCUCACGCGUACACAUUCACAAAGAGGAAGCCGCAACAAGGAAAGAGUUGGCGCUCACAACCGCAUCAACUCCUCCAUCUCUCUCUAAGGGUGCUACUUGGCAUUCAAUGCCAAGCCUUAAAGAAACUAAUGGAAUUCAAGGAGGUUCUAAGUUAGGGAGUGUAAUCCAGGUAUCGUCUAGCUUAAAGAUGAAAAAAGAAAGAGUGCUCUUGAGAGGCACCCCUUGCGUAUCCCUUCUUAGAAUAGAGAAUAAAAACCGAAGGAUUAUUGGCUUGUGUGUCUUGUGGUAUGUCGUUUGUGUCAGUCUUGUGAUUGAGUCGAGUUUUAAGUUUGUUGAUAGUAUCCUAUCUGAUUGUUGUUUCCAAAUGAAUGCUAGGGAGCUGUGAUUAGUGAGUGUUUAUGUUUGGUGAGUGUUGUCAAAAGUUAAAUUAAAAUGUUGCUGUAAAUCUAGCUUGCAUGCCGUGCAUGGCUAGAUUGUUUCAAAACCUUCAUAGCAAAAAAGGUGUGCACGCCGUGCACCCUUAUCCUAAAAAACCAACUACCCAGAGUUUGUUUCCAUGCCUUUCACAUUAGAUAUUCGUGAGCACGCGAAAAUUCUAAGUGUGGGGGGGGAUUGGUUUUGAUUGAUUGGUCGACAUUUGUGCUUCAAUUGGACCCUUGUUAACGGAUGAUAACACUUGUUACAUCUAUCACUAGUACAUUGUUUUUGUUAUGAUUGGCAGAUUUCAAAAAUGGUUCACCUAUCACAUCUCACCAUCAUAUUCUAUUUCAUCAACUCAAUUCGGAAUUAACUUAUCUCUUCUCUAAUGUGACUUCUUGUGAGGGUAAUGUUGUUGUUUAUGGGAUGAAUUAGGAUGCUAGUUAUUUCACUUGAUUGCUUUAAUUGAAUCCUUGUAUAUGAACAUUUGAAAUUCCCUCUUAAACUUGAAAAUUUUGGAUGAUUUGGAUGCAUGUUUAGCGUAGUAUUGCUACUUGAGGGUGAAUAAGAUGCAUGAUGGAUCAUUUUGGGAUCGCCUCCCAUUUUUCUCGAAACGAGUUUAGAAUAGAUUUAUACACUUGGUUACUUGGUCAUGAUGUCUACCGACUUUGUGAACAUAUAUUUAUCCUAUCGAGUUUGCUCUAGUUAUUUAAAGUCAUAUUUGACUAGAUGGUCCGAAUAAGGUGCAAAAGAGUCCAAUGUGCCCAAAUUGUCGUGGGGGUUCGGUUGUGAUUCAACACACAGCGACUUUGAGUCUGUCGCAUGCAAGCUAGUCACUUCAGGCUUCUCUUCUCAACACUUCCUAGUUGCGAGUCGAGGUUUCUCGGGUAAACUCGAUCUAUGUGGAUGAGAGCCUUAGCCCGAUCAGGGUCGCAACUACCCCCACUUGGAAAGAUACCCCCAAAAAGCUAUGCAAAUUUUUGAAAGAUGGGUUUGCAAUUAAUUGAGUAAUUUAAUUAACCCAAGUGUUUAGCAUAUCAUUAUAAAAGAAGAGGGAAGUGCUAUGAUUUGGAUAAAUCAUUAAAGUAAGCACUCCCUCCCUUAGGACAGGAAAAAUACCAGGCCAGGACCAUUUGUUUUGAGCAUAAGUGAUCGGGACAAAUGUUUUUGUCGGUGGGUGUUGAUGGUACUAACUAUAUACAUAUGUUUGUUCUUUAUUUCGAUUAGAAGACUUAGUAAAUAUUAGCUUUUUGAUUGAAUAUUACCUUGUUCCAACUUCAUUCCCGUGUGAUUUUAUGUUUUGGCAUUAUGUGUCUAGACCCAUUCACUUGGACCAUUUCGGUCCAUUUGAUGUGCGUCUUUGUAGUAUUUGUUAUCCACAGGUACUCUAGAGACAGUUGGUCUAGCUAUGGGACCAUGGGCGCGAAAUAGAGCACGGUUGGAGCUUGAACGGAAGAACGAAACAAGGAAUGGUGAAUAAGAAGGGCCACACGCCGUACAUCACUGCACCCCGUGCAUGCCCUAAAAUGCUAAAUAUCCUCGUAGCAAAAGGGGGUGCACGGCGUGCAUCCAUUUUUGCAACAAAGGUUCUUUCAGCAAAGGGGGAGCACGGGCGUUCAUCCCUGCACGGCGUGCACCUCCCAAAUUCAACAGUUUCCCUAUAAAAGGCUGAUUUUGAGGAAAGAGAAAGAAGAUCUUCUCCAACGAAUUUACCUCGAUUUUUCCACGAUUUUUCUCUGCAAAACUCCAUAUCUCCAUCCUUAGAAGUCCGAUUGAAGAUCCGAAGGAGUCCCCAUUGGAGAUUGAAGCUAGGAUUAAAGGUAGAAGAUCAAAAUCGAAGAUUGGAUAGAGAUUAAGCCAUUAUCUCUUCAUCAAUAUGUUGGUUACGAAUUUUCCUAUUUUCUCUUCUUCUAGAGUCAUGAGUAGCUAAUUCUUUUGAGUUUCUUGGUCGGGAUGUAAGAAUUGAGCUAUGAUACUCUCCCUAAAAGUAUAGGAUCGAUGGUUGUUGGAUAAUUAGAUUUGAAUGAAAGAUUGGUUUCAUUGUUGGGUUUCCAACCUAGUUCUUGUUACGACUUGAAUUAGGUCAAAUCUAUGAAAUCAUAUGAUUAAAAAUCUAAGAUAGAAGAAGUUAUCAGUGGGGUAAGCCAUUAGCCCGAUUCUACCUUUCGUGCUUCUUUUGGUUUUAACGGUUAUUCAUCAAAUAAUUAGUGAGCGUUCUAGUUUGCACCUAAUGGACCAAGUUGGGUGUAAUUAUCAUUAGCUUAGGCGUUGAUGGAUCAAGUUAACGCUAAUUCAAUUUACUUGUGAUUUCCCUUAAUUAUUAAAGAGCACCUUAUCACUUUGUAUAACUUCUCGGUGUUCAUUAUCGGUUAGCCUAAUUGAAGUUAUUCCAACUUUGAUUGGAAAGCUAGUAGUGGCAAUCCGCGUGCAUGAUCGUGCCGCGGAUUCAUACGAGUGAUAAGAGGAUUCGUAUCGUUCAAUCCAAGUCCAACGUUGUUCGAUCUGACUACUAUUACGAAGUUGAGCUUGAUGAAUCAUCCCUUCUAUGAACUUGUCUUCUCCUCCUAGUAUAAAGCAUAAUUGUUAGUUUUAAUUGAAUCAAUAGAAUCAUUAUAAACCCUUCUCAAUUUGUUCAGUCUAUAUUGUGUUGAUUAGUUUGAGUAAAAGCAUAACGAGAGGAAUCCCUAGACACAUACGACACUUGUGUUGUUGAGAUAACUUCAAAGUUAUUUUGGCGAUCAAAAUGCAGGAGGCCUCUCGACUGCAUCUGCGACCUGAAAAACUAGAUGUCAAAUCCCCCGAAAGUCUGCUCGAGAGCCUGGGUGUUGUUGUCCCCGCUUCCGGUGGCCGUCGGGCAAUUAUGUUGCAAAGAGGAAGCGAAUUGGGGUCGAAUGCUGUUGGAGGUGUUGUUGUAGAUCCGGUUUUGGAAAUCGACCCAACGAGAGACGCCGAUGGUGUGUCCUCUCGAAAGCGCCACGAGGUUGGUGAUGUUGAGGCCGUGGGAUUGGAAGUUGGACAUUAGCUGCGAGAAGUUGAACGUCGGCGGCAAGAGGAUAUUGUUCGCGGUGGCGCGGCUGGCUGUUCUUGCGUGUCUUCAUCCUAAGGGAAAUUGGUAGAAGUAACUUUGACCUCCCAGCUGUAAGAAUUUAUAAAUUUAGAAAAUGUAAGUUGAGUUACCAAUACGACGACGUUUAGAGAGAUAUAGGAAAAUGAAAUGGGUUAGGCAAGGUUACGAUCGAGACAUAGUCGCAAGCAGCAACGACUAAGAUGUUAGCGCAGGAGGCGACAUUAGCCUUGCAUUUCUUGUCAGUACUUCCGACUUGAUUUUGUCGAUAACUUCAAACCCUCUCACAGAGUUUACGUUAGGAGCUUCCGUCUUCUCUCCGGUAAAAUUGGCAGUGUCGUCCAACAAUAUGGAGCCAUCACAACCUUGUAUACAUUUUUAUUGAGUUGUCCCAAAUGGUAGAGAAUAUGACUUUGAAAAAUAAAAUUAAGGAAGUGGUAGUGAACUUACAUUGACAAAGCAGUCGUGGAAGUGCAAUCCGAGGUGGGAAGCGCCCAUUCGAGUCUCAUUUUUUAUUUCUUGCCUAACAAUCUUUCGAAUUGCAGGUAGGGCCUGGGGGCAAGUUGUUUUGUAGAAAUCAGGGGCCAUCAGAAAGGUAGCCACAAGCGAGAAACCGCGCAGAGCACCCAUAUAUGCUUUGGUUGAUUGAUUAACUAGUUAUGGAGUUAGUUCAAAUUGGUUUCAGAUGUCUUGCUGCUACAACUUCAUACGUCGUGAGUAUUUAUAGUACACGGAUGGAAACGAGCAAUGAUUGAUUCUAAAAAGCUGAAGACCAUAUAAUAUUGUAGCUUAUCUGCAUUCUUAUUCCAAUCUGUAGCAUAAUAGUUAGCACGAAAGGCCUUGAGGAGACAGAGAUGCAAAUUUUCCCUUCCGAUUGUUGAUUAAGUGCACGGGAAAGCUAAGCUAGGCUGCUCUUGCAUGAAUGAAUCCCUAUUCUACCCAGAGAAUCAUCCAAUUCACGAUUUGUAGUGUCAACCCUUAGGUUGUUUCUGGAUUGGUAGUUGAUAAGCAAACGUUACCAUGUCACAAUCAUCUGUUGUUCGAACGAGUUUUAAAUAUUGUUCUUGGAGGGGUGAUUUAGCUAGCUGGCCUCACCGCCACAGCCUUUACUUUAGGUCUCUUUUCCCUUGCGUAAUUGCGUUAGGCUGUUUUUUCACACUAAUUAAAUCGGUGACCUGUAACCAUGUUCAUCAUACCUUUUAGGUUUGAAGCAAUCUUGGAAUCAGUCAUAAGAUAAUAUCACAUAUGCUCUGAUACCAAAAACUAAUCAUCUGCAAAGUGCUAAGUUCUGCAACAUUAAUGAGCGUUUCAGCUUUUUUAGCAGGUCUAUCAAACAACUCUACAACGCCUGUAGUAAUCCAUGUUGCUGGUGCAUCAACUAAGUAACGGUUCUUGAGCUAGAUUCCAGAUUCGAAUAUACAACCAAUCCUAAAACUUUAUGGGAUUGAUCGAAAGUCAAUCAUCUGACUAACAAAAGCAAAAAUAAAGAAAGGGGUAGAGAGCAUAUUCGAUCAUCCACAUGCUUCAGCAACUCCACUUUACAAACACUUUCCUGCCUCCCUGCAAAUGUGUCAACUAAUUCAACAGCCUUCAGCCAACCAAAUAAUUAAAGUCAAACUUGUACUAAUUAAGUUAAUGAGUAGGACUCAACAGCAACUUAACAUCAGUUUCUCCUUUUGUUCUCCCAAUUUAAUGAUCAAUACCUAUCAUUUUGAUCAUUGUUAAUACUUUCAAUUCAUAUUAACUAAUGGCAAUCCCUACAACAAUUGGUUAGCAGCCCUAUGAACUGAAUUCACUGAUGUCUAUCAAGUAUCAACAAGCACAUGUAUUCAACACUAUCGAAUCACAGAAAUGCUUAGAAGUCACACCAAAUGGGUUCCAUUCCCACGAAAUGGCAAAGAAAAACAGGGUAGAACAAUGCUAUAGUCUACUGGAAAUGUCACUUUCUUUCUAUGCAACUCUUCAUUAGGAAUCUUGAUAAAAAAAAUUGAAUGUAACGUGCUCAAACCUGAGGCCUUUGCAUGAUGCAACCGGAAAGGUCCAACCACUCACUCUUUGUGAAUGUUAUGGAUAGCUGCGCCAAUGCUUUUGCAAUCGAACUCCAUCACCUUCAUCCAGUUCUCAAAGUCUCCAAUUUCCUGUAUAUCAAUAGUUUCCAUGAAAUGAGUGCUUUCACUAUCAGUUUCAUGUUCCGGAUUCCCAGUUUAUAUCAAUCCACAAACCUUGAUUGCAGUGUUCAUAGCGUGAGUGGCAGAUAACCAUUGAUCACUCUGCUUCAUGAACCGGGUAAUAGUGGCUGCCAAUGCUCGUAUCUCUGAUUCAAUCUGCUUCUCAAUUAUAAACGACUCUUCUACACCGCCAUUUACAGCAUCUACUAACAGAUUUGACACUCUCACCGCUUUCCUAAUCGCAUCUUUCUUAGCUUUCUCUGCAAAAAUAAAAAGAGAAUUAUGCAAUGAGAAAAUGAAAUCAACGAGAUCGCCUAUGGGAAAAUCGUAAAUCCUGAAAUCAACUUGCCUGUUUGCUCUCGCAGGUGGAGAGCAGCUUGUUGGUGAUCCUGGACAAGGUGAAUAAGCGACGCUUCAAGAGCUCCGACCUCAGCCUGGGAUCUCUCCAUUUUUCGUAUUUAGAUUACCAAGUAUAGAUAGAUGCAGGCUGCAAUAAAUGGCCAAUGUUUACGAACUCGCAGCAUACUCAUGCUUCAUACGAAUACAAUCCUCGGCUGAAGUGAACCAUUUCACGAUUAGCAUACACAGCUAUGACUAAAAUUCAUAGUACAUUGUUCAAAUUGAAAAUUGCAAACAUUCACAAACUCAUUUGCUCCUUAAUUCACAAAAUUUCUAAGCAAUUCCUGCAGGAGUCCAGAAUUUCUCAAUCGAUGAACAAUAAGCAGGGAGGCUAUGACAAUCACCAAAAAGAAAAGAACAGGACAAAAACUAAGAACUAGUCCAUACACGUAUAAAGAAAUUCAAUCAGUAACAAGUAUGACCCAACGAUUUUCGAAAGAUAAAAUGAGGAAAAAUGACGGAAAUCUAGGACUUCCACUGAGAAUCCGAGGAUCCCCUAGGUUUUGAGACGAUCAGACCUUGAAGCAUUGCAGUAGCUACCCGGAUGGAUGAAUUCCUUGGUGAGUCUCAGAGGUUGAAUAAGUUCCGCCGGUAUUCGGCCAGGGAAGAAAACUUUCCCGUUCGUAUGUUCACUCACAGCCGCGUUUCUCCGGCUGUUCUAGAGAGAAAGAGUCGUCGACAAUGGGGUUGCGGGCCGGACUUGGGCCUGAAGAAAGUAUGAUAGAUUUGGGUUUGUAGGGCCGGAGUUCGUAGGACUGAAAACAGCGGGGUUGACCAAACGAGCUAUCAUAGAAUUUUUCCAAACAUUGUAUAUUUCCGGUUUUGUAUAAAAUGAUUAUUUCCAAAUUAAUACGGUAUACUAUUAUACAUACAAAACCUCCGGGACUUAAAGUCCGGUUUUGUUAGAUUCAAUAAUUUGUUUGAGUUGAUGAUUUAAAAUAAUAAAAAAAUAAAAUAGUUGGAGAUUUAAAAUAGAAAAGAUUUGAAUGAAGCGUAUUACUUUUAAAAUAACUCGUUUGACUGAGUGAAUUUGAGGGUUUUGAGUACAAUUAUUACAUAAAGAGAAAAUUAAAUUAAAAAGUUCAAAAAAUAAAACUACUUAAAUACGCCAUAUACUAAAUAUUAAUGGGUCGUUUGGAUAGAUAAUUUUGACAGGUGAUUUGGACAUCUAAAGAGAUUUCGUCUCAAGUCACCCGUUUAGGAUAUCAAAACGAGACGAGAUGUGGGAAGAUAUGAAAUCACCUUGUAAGUGAUUCUAAAUCACAGAGGAGAGGUAGAGAUUUCGGAAGAGAGAGGAUAGAUUUGAAAAUAUUAACAAAAAUUACCCCUUAUUUCUUUUUUAAAAUUGAUAUGACUAUAAAUAAACUAGAGGUAUUUGUUUCUAUUUGUAAUUUUUUUAUUGUUGUUUUAUUUUUCUCUCUACAAUAAUUGCAUUCAAAAUCACAAAUCUAAACGGUCUAUUUCAAAAGUAGCAAACUUCAUUCAAAUCUCUUCUAUUUCAAAUCUCUUUUAUUUCAAAUCAUCUACCCAAACGACCCGUUACAAGGGAUUUUGAGGAUAAUUUUGGUAAGAACUUUCAAAUCUCCCUUCUCUCCUCCCAAAUCUCUACCUCUCCGGGGUGAUUUGAAAUCACCCUCGAAAUUUUCUUCGGGCCCACAAGGAAAUUUCAAAUCACCCAAAAUCUCUUCCGAUUAUUUAAGCAUCCAAACAAGUGAUUUGGGACAAAAUCUCUACCGAGAUGCAAAUCACGCUCAAAUCAUCUGUCUAAAUCGCAACCCAAACGAGCUACGUGAUUGAUUAAUAAAUAUACCGUGAGAGGCAGGAAAUGUAUAUAAAAUGCGAAGGCUAUUUAAUACGGAACAUGAUAUGAAUAUUUUAUAUAAAUAUAGUUGAAUGCUUAUUGUGUAACUCUCAUUGCAUUAAUCAUGUAUUAUAUUACUCUUUUAAUUAUAUUAAUGUUAUAAUGUAUAGAUUAUGAUUUCAUGAGCUUAUAAAUAAAACACUUCAUUGUAUAUUUCUAAACCUCAAUAAGAAAUUUUUUCUUUCUCCAUAUUCCUCUUGUUCUUAUCUUUCUUUAAAUUUAGUUUUAUAAUAGAAGAAUAAUUGAUUUCAAUAUAAUAUGAGAGGAAUAGUAAGCAAAAUGGGAUUGGAUCGAAGACUGUUGAUUGACAGCUACAAUUAAUCAAUGACAAGAUAUUAAUUAGCUAUGUUAGGGUUGGGAAGAAGAGACUACGUACUAUUCAUAGCAANNNNNNNNNNNNNNNNNNNNNNNNNNNNNNNNNNNNNNNNNNNNNNNNNNNNNNNNNNNNNNNNNNNNNNNNNNNNNNNNNNNNNNNNNNNNNNNNNNNNNNNNNNNNNNNNNNNNNNNNNNNNNNNNNNNNNNNNNNNNNNNNNNNNNNNNNNNNNNNNNNNNNNNNNNNNNNNNNNNNNNNNNNNNNNNNNNNNNNNNNNNNNNNNNNNNNNNNNNNNNNNNNNNNNNNNNNNNNNNNNNNNNNNNNNNNNNNNNNNNNNNNNNNNNNNNNNNNNNNNNNNNNNNNNNNNNNNNNNNNNNNNNNNNNNNNNNNNNNNNNNNNNNNNNNNNNNNNNNNNNNNNNNNNNNNNNNNNNNNNNNNNNNNNNNNNNNNNNNNNNNNNNNNNNNNNNNNNNNNNNNNNNNNNNNNNNNNNNNNNNNNNNNNNNNNNNNNNNNNNNNNNNNNNNNNNNNNNNNNNNNNNNNNNNNNNNNNNNNNNNNNNNNNNNNNNNNNNNNNNNNNNNNNNNNNNNNNNNNUAGAAGAGAAAUUUUUCUGGAAAGUUUAACUUUUUAUUGUAGAGAAUUAUCUGAUUUUAUUUGGAGGAGUAAAAAAAAGAAUAUGAUUUUAUUCUUUUUUAAAAGAUAGAUUGUUUAAUUCUAAUCGGCCUACAACUCUUUUUUCUCCCACCCUACUUUUUCUUUAUAAUAUCUUUUUUUGGUUAAUUUUUAAACCUACCUAAUUAAUAAUUAAUAGAGAAAUCCCAAUCAACAAAUGUCAUGUUAGCAAAAUGUCCAACUGGACGUGUUAAUUCAUCAUAACUGCCCAAAAAAAGGACUUACUUGAUGGUCUGAGAAAAGUGUAGGGGCUUGAUUAGAAAGAAAAAUAAUAAAGGGGCUCAAUUGUUAACUUGUAAUAGUAUAUGGGCCAUUUACCAUAAUCCCUUAUUAUUAUUAUUAUUGAAAAACCAUACACCUUUAUAUUUGUUACGUAUAUCCAACUUUCUGCCAUAUCGAUGGAAAACGUGAUGGGUUUCAUUGACAAUCCAGAUAUGGAACCAACCCCAUGAAAGAACAAAAAAAGUAGUGUUCUAUGAGCCCAGUUUCGAGGAAUGUCGUCCAACGGUUACGGUGGAUCAAGAUAAAGAGAAACAGUGGAAAUUCCAAAUUAGAGUCAUACAAGAUCCAGUACUUCACUACAAAAAAAACUAGGUAAUCUGUAAAGGGAACCGUGAAAUUUCUAUGGGCCAAACAGUUGGCCGAAGACUUACCUUCCCUGUACACUUGGGAAACGGCGACAGCCCAAUCGCGCCUAAACAGACUGCAAAGCUAAAGCACGAGAUUAGCGAGCUAAUGCAACGACUCCUCCGUAGCCUGCAGAUUGGACAAAGCUACUUUCGAGUCUAUUUGCAAGGCUACCCUCUGAAUUAGCCACUCAUUUUUUUAGAGGCAAACAAAUAUGUUUAAAUAUCAUUGUAUAGCAAACCAGUUUCAGCGAUGAUAGUAACUACGCUUGCUGUUGGCGAGGAGGUCAGAGGUUCGAAACACAUGUAGCUUUUUGCUCUAUUUUCCAAAGGGUUGGAUGCAUAGACCAGAAGAAGAUACUCUUAUAAGAGAGAAAUUUGGUUUACUCCAAAAUACCGUGUCGUUUUCUUUUAACUGAUUGGUUACUUUUGCUGUGCUAUUUCUUUUUCUUUCUUUUGAAUUGUCAUCUUUGUACGACGUGACAAGUUGACAACGAAUUGAGGUCCUACUCCUACCUACUUUAAUUUUUUUUAUAUGAAGGAGUCUUCAUUAAUAAUUACAAUCACUUAAGAAAAAUAGAUAAAUUGCUAGCUAUUAUCCAACUGCUGCAAUUCUGCAUAAUUUAGGGCCAUCUUCUACGUACGUAGUUAGACCAGCGAAUAGUAGAAUAAUACCCCCCACGUUUAAUAAAUGCAUGUUUCCCUUUCAUGGACGGGAGUUGGUAAUCUUGUCGACCCACCCCAUGCAUGCAUGCAUGCACUACUUUUACUUGUCACCGAAAGCCGCCAUCAAGUCAUAUAAGUACCCAUUUAGUCUCCCAUACCUAUCUUCACAAUCAUCCUAAACAUUAUUCAACUCUAACUAAUAACAAAGGCAAAGUAGCUAGAAGUUAAAUACAUAUAUAGAAUUAAAUGGCUGCCGCCGGUAGGUUAUGAAGACAGUGAGAUCCGCCGUGCAAUCCGCCGUCUCCAAGGAAACAAGGGUGGCUGCCUCUCUUAUCCGCUUGCAUUUCCACGAUUGUUUCGUCAACGUAAGUAAUUACUCUCUUUAAUUAUAUAGCUUAGGAAAAUGUGGUUUUGUUUCAUAGUGAGACAAAAUUGAUCACAGUCACACUACCAAUAAAUUAGGGGCCCAUUGUUUUUACUGUGUCAAAAUUAAACGAAUCCUCAUGAGCCCCCAAUUUAUUGGUAUUGAGACAGUUCAUUUUCUUUCUGUGUGAGUCAAAAAAUUCCCCCCCUAGCUUAAUACUAUAUGUUAAAUUCAUUGAUCGAGUUUUCCGGUGUUGGAAAAAACAGGGUUGUGAUGGAUCGAUAUUACUGGAAGACACAGCUUCGUUCACAGGAGAACAAACUGCUCUGCCCAAUGCCGGAUCAGUGAGAGGAUUUAACGUAAUCAAAGACAUAAAGUCCAAGGUUGAGAAAGUCUGCCCAGGCGUCGUCUCCUGUGCCGACAUCCUAGCCAUCGCUGCUCGAGAUUCCACCGCCAUUGUACAAUCGAACACCACUCCAUGUUAAAAUGAAAUAUCUUAUCUACCAUCCAUUUUGAUCUCUUGAUCAAUUAAUUGAUUCUCGUGCAUGGGUGGAUUAUACUUAAUUACUUGCAGGCAGGGGGCAAAAGUUGGAAGGUGAGGCUUGGAAGGAGGGAUUCCAAAACAGCUAGUUUGGCUGCAGCAAACAGUGGAGUUAUCCCUCCCCCUACCGCCACUCUUAACCAACUCAUCACUCGCUUCCAAGCCAGAGGCCUCUCCGCUAAGGACAUGGUCGUUCUCUCCGGUAAUUAAGCAGCGGUAGAUCCACAAGGUAUUGGACCGACUUGUAUAGAUAUGUUAAAUUCAUUUCAAAUUAAUUUUGGCUGCAGGAUCCCACACGAUUGGACAAGCUAGGUGCGUAACAUUCAGGAACAGAAUCUACAACGAGACCAACAUCGACUCUUCGUUUGCAAGAGGCCGACAGCAGAAGUGCCCCAGGGCUCAAAACUCAGGGAACAACAAUUUGGCCCCAUUUGACGUUACGACUCCCAAGUUGUUAGACAACAAGUACUACCAGAACCUCAUCCAGCAAAAGGGUCUUCUCCACUCUGACCAAGUCUUGUUCAACGGUGGAUCGACUGAUUCCCUUGUACGAUCCUACAGUCGUAAUCCAAAGGCCUUCGCCGCGGACUUUGCAUCUGCGAUGAUCAAGAUGGGAAGCAUAAGUCCCCUCACUGGUUCUCAAGGCGAGAUCAGGAAGAUAUGUAGCAGGCCUAACUAAUCGUCAGCAUGCACUUCAUAUUUUUGUUUUUGGGUGUGUUUUAUUUUAUUUUAUUUCAUGUAGUUGGUUAUUUUUUCGUAUACGUCAAAAUUGAGAUUCUACAGUACACGAUCAGACAAGAGUUUCUGAAUCGGAAGUACAAGAAGUAUUGUUGUGUUUACAAGUUAAAAGUACGAUAACAAAGUUGGUUCCACAGUCAAAUCAGAAACAACGAUUUGACUACAUAAUAAAUAAAUUAAUAAUAUAUAUUGGCUCCUGAUCAUAUAUUUGAUGAGAUUUUACUCAUAACCUAAUUACUUUACUCAUUCCUAGCGGUUAUCCGUUUCACCGUAACCUUAAAAUACCUUGCCAACGCUGUUAAUAACCAUAAAAACUUGGUGAGGUAUGGUCAAUUAAGCGGUUAUGCAGUUGGAAUUGCCGAUAAAAGUUUCAUCGAUGAUUUUGUGUGGAUUGCAGAUGAAAUUUUUUUCAUAUUCAUCUUCAUCCUUGGAAAAUCAUGGUAAAGAAAAGCAACAAAGGGUUGGAAUCGGAAGAAAAUCUUCAUCGGAGUUUGCCUCCAAAUUAAUUUAAAUUUAUCGAGACGAAUUGCCUAUUCAGAUUGAGUCUUCUAAUCUUAAUACUUAUUUGUUAGUUUUGAUUUAAAAAAGUUUUUAGAAUAUGUGUAACGCGUCCCUAUAUACAUCACAAGUGAGUAAUAUGUAAACAAAAUCGACUCAAUGUUCUGCGGCAUAGCGUGGCCGUCAAAACUAGUUCAUAUUAAUAGGCACUAAACUACGAAGUUUUGAAUAGAGCAGCUUUUGUGGUUGAUCCAUGGAGUAUAUGCAGGGUACAUCACGUUGAAGAAUUGAAAUUUCGGGGGCUUGAUGGAGAAGCUGACGUCCUUUGGGGUUUUACAGACGAUACAAAUCGCCAAAAUCGAUCGGGCAGACCGUAUUAGGGAUGGGCAGGGCUGAUGCUGAUGGCCGGCGACGCUCUCAAUCUGGAUCUUGGCCUGUGAGAGGAUAAUCCUGAUGUUGAUGGGGAAGAGGAAGGGAAGUGAUCAGGGGAGUGAAAGAGUGUGGUUGGAAACAAGGAGGUGGUGGCGGCCGGUGGUGAUGGGGUGAAGGAUAUAUAUGUUCUAUCUCAGUAGCUAGGGAUGAUGUUUCUACCUUUUAUUUUAAUAUCAGUUAUAUGUUCUAAAUUAUAGAAAGAGGAUGGCAUAUUAGGCCAAUAUUAUUGGCAUUGGCGGGAGUAAGAGUUGACAUAUAUGUAGGCUGACACGUUAUUUCGAGGUUUGAGUUUCCGUUAAUUUGGACGGAAAACGAGAUGGAAUUUUGAAGAAUUGCAUUUUAAAAUAAUAUAAGCUAGAUUUUCCAAAUUGAAAUUAAUUAGAUUGGCCAGAUCUGGGUAUUUAAUUUGCCCUGCAGAAUAUUCGAAGACGUAGCUAGAGAAGUCCCUUCACUUCCCUUUCAGUCUCUGUUGGAAGAAGCUUGGCUGGCGGUAAAGUCAUGAAUCCGAAAUAAAUACCUACUGGGCCGCCGGGAAGAAACGGACAUGCAUAUAUAUAUAUAUAUACACUCUUACUCUAUAGUUUUUAUUUCAAAUUAUUGGACGGAACCUUGACCAUCACAUCAAAUUAUUUGUGUGGAAUUUGCAAAUACAUGUCUACAUGGCCUACCAAUCCACACCGAACAUAAAAGAGGCAGGCUUAUUGUGAAAUUAAUUAUUUGGGAAUAGUAAACAAAUGGGUACGUACGUAAUUAAUGAAAGAAAUUUAUAAGUACAUAACUAUGUAUCUAGUCAAAAUACUCAACAUGACUGGUACUCACUGUGCUUGAUUUGUCUACAAACACAAUAAUCGACGAACACUUUGAAAUUUCUCUGCCUAAACAAAUUUUGAAAAUUCCACCACUACAUUAUUAUUAUUAUUAUUGAAAUAUCGUGUGUUAUUGACGAACGGAUUUUAUCCCGUUAUUAAAUACCCACUAGAAUAAAAUAAUGAAAUUGUAUUUCUAUAGGGUCUUUCUAUUGCUAUUACUGAAUUUAAAUAUGCUAACUAGACCAAAUAACAGUGAAUGAUUGUUUGUUUGAAUGUUUACUGAUUGUUUGUUUGAAUGUUUAUGUAACCAAUUAACAACUAAGAAUGCAAAUAAAAAGAAAGCAAAUGCAAGAGAUUGAGUUUCAAAUAUGCAAUGAAGGUUGUUCGAAUUCUAAUCCACUAAAGCUAGCAAUGCAUGAAUGAAAGAUAUGCUAUCUCAAUUAUUCAGGUUAUAACAGCUUGGCUAUUUCCUACCAUAGUCUUAGAUCACUCUCGCGCCUCUAAGGAUCUAUUCUACCUGACCUAGACUCCUCUCUCGAGUUAAUCUACAUCCAAGCAGAACACACUAAAGAGUGUUUGAUGAAAUGCCACAACGAUAAUGAUGAAAAAAGUCUAAACGAUUCGUUCCUCUCUCAAGCUAAAGAAUAAUCUAGAGUUCUUCCUAAGCGUUCGAUCGCCAAAAUAACUGUGAAGUUAUCUCAACAAGACAAGUGUCGUAUGUGUCCAAGGUUCCUCUCGUUAUGCUUUUACUCAAACUUAGCUACACUGUUUAGACUACACUAAUUGAGAAUGGUUUCCAAUUAUACUACUAAUCCAAUUAAUCUAGCAAUUCAAACUAAGAAAUAGGUUUGCACAUAAGGAGAAGACAAGUUCUUGGAAGGGAUGAUUCAUCAAGCUCAACUUCCUAUUAGUAGUCGGAUCGGACAAAUGUUGGACUUGGAUUGAAUAAUAUAACUCCUCUUAUCACUUGUAUGAAUCUGUAGCACGAUCAUGCACGUGGAUUACCACUACUAGCUUCCCAAUCAAAGUUGGCUAACCAGUAAUGAACACCGAGAAGUUCUACAAAGUGAUAAGGUGGCCUCUUUGAAUUAAAGGAAAUAACAAACAAUUGGAAUUAGUGUUAACUUGGUCCAUCAACACCUAAGUCACUAAUAACUACACCAACUUGGUCCAUUAGGUGCAAACCAGAGCGCCCGCAAAUUACCCGAUAAACAGCUUUUGGCUUAUUCCACUGAAAACUUUCUUCUAUCUUAGAUUGUUAAUUUUAUGAAUUCCCAAGUCGAUCAAACAAAUGAUUUCAUAGAAUUGACCUAAUUCAAGUGGAAAAAAACGCGUUUGAAAGCCAACAAUCAAAGCAAUCUUUCAUUCAAAUCCAAAUAUCAAACAAUCGUCGACCCUAUCAUAGCUCAAUUCUUAUAUCCCAACCAAUAAACUUUAACGAUUUAGCUACUCAUAACUCUAGAAGAAGAGAAAACAAAGAAAGACCUAACCAUCAUCUUGUUGAACAUAUUAUGAAUCAGACUCGCUCCAAUCUUCGCUUUUGGCCUUCUAGUUCCAAUCCUAACUUAGAUCUUCAAUGACACCUCCUUUGAUUCUUCAAUUGAUCUUCUAUGGAUGAAAAGAUGAUGACUUUCAGAGGAAAAUCGGGGAAAAAUCGCUGGGAAUUGUUGAAGAAGAAGCCCCUUUCUCUUUCCUUAAACCACUCCUUUUAUAUCAAAAUUUUCAGAUCAGGGAGGUGCAGGGCAUGCAUCCUGCAUUGUGCGCAUGCAUGCACGGUGUGCAACCCUUUUCGCCGUGAGGUAAUUCCAUGUUAGGGCAUGCACGACGUGCAACCCUUUUUAUUCACCAAUUCUUGCAUCAUCCUUCCAUUCGAGUUCCAAACGUGCUCUAACCCGCGUCUAUUGCCUCAUAGCCAAACCAUAUGUCUCUAAAGUACCUCUGGAUAACAAAUACUACAAUAAAACACAUCAAAUGGACCAAAAUGGUCCAACUGAACGGGUCUAGACAUACAAUGCCAAAAUGCAAAACCACACGGGAUUGAAGCACAAAUGAGCUAGUAUUCACUCAAAAAGCAUGCAGAGGGUAAGAUAAUCGCUACCAAUCAUAGCACUAUCAACGUCCUAUCGAUCUACGUUCCUCUCGGACCCGCAAAUAAAUGACGAUGAAUCAAUUAAGGCGAUCAAACAAAAUUGAAUCCGAAAUUAGGUUUAGCAAGAACACAUUAUAAGUCUUAAUAACCUCGAUAACAAAUCAAAGGGUUAAAAUCUCAUCAUCCAUGCAACAACUAAGCUAAAAUUUUACCUCAUCCAAACAACACGAAAGGUUUAGCUACUUGACGCGCGGAUUUUACCCUGCUAUCAAAUACCCACUAGAUUGCUCUAACUGAAUCGUUUAUUUUCCUAGUGUCUUUCUACUUCUAUUACUGAAAUCGAUUAACUAACUAGACCAAGUAACAGUGAAUGAUUGGUUAUUUGAUUGUUUAUAUAUCCAAUUAUAAACUAAUGACUGAAAUAAAAUAAAUCAAAAUGCAAGAAAUCAAGUUUCAAAGAUAAGAUGAAGGUUGUUCUUACUCGAAUCCACAAUAGCUAGCAAUGCAUGGAUGGACGAUAUGCAAUCUCAAUUAUUCAGGUUAUAAUGGCUUGACGAUUUCCUACGAUAGUCUUAGAUCACUCUCGCGCCUCAAUGGAUCUAUUCCGCUUGACCGUAGACUCCUCUCUCGAGCUAAUCUACACCCAAGCAGAAUGCAUUAAAGGUGUUUGAUGAAAUGCCACAACGAUAAACGAUGUAAAGAGCUUAGAUUAAAUGUUCCUCUCUCGACCUAACGAGUAACCUAGAUUUCUCCCUAAGCGACCUAUUGAUCUAUGUUCCUCUCGGACCCAUAAAUCAAUGACACAGAUUCAAUCAAGAUGAUCAAACGAGAAUGAAUAUAAAAUUAGGUUUAGCAAGAACACAAGAUAAUGUUGAAUAACAUCGAUAGCAAUAUCAAAGGUUUAGAAACCCCUCAUCCAUACAAAAGCUAAGCUAAAGUUUCAUCUGAUCCAAACAACAUAAAAGGCUUAGCACCUCAUGGUUUUGGAAAAUAAAUUACAAGAGAAGAGAAGAAAAAUCUGAGAAGACGACAUGUUCUUCAUGGAAAUCCCAAUCUUGGACUUGAUGAUUUGCCCUUGGCCAAUUGUGGUUGAUUCUCUCGCUUCAAUUGUCUCUCGGGAAUCGUAGCUCUCUCUAAGAACCCGAAAAUAUGUGUAUAAUGAAGUAUAUCUCGUCCAUAGGGGGUCUCGGGGGUAUUUAUAGACUUCUGGGUCAAGUUGGAGAAGGAAAAGGACUUGAGAACUUGUCUGGGGGUGGGGCAGCCGUGCUCCAUAAGGAACACCUUGUUCCCGACCGUCUUCCUUCGCUGUAACUUUCUCGGGCAAUUCGAGAGGAGGAACACACCAUGUUCCUUCAUUUUAAAGAAUUUGACUAUAGCGUCAACAUAAAAUUUGUAGACAAUAAAAUAUCUUUCCAACGCAGCUAACCUUGCAUCAAUUGGACUUCUGAGCGAUGAGUGAUGUUCAAAAUACUAAACAGUGGCGUUUGCUUCCCAAAUGGAACGUUUUGAGUUGUUCCAGCGUUCCCGUCAUGUUUUGGUUCAUCUCUAAUCGUCAUAUGACACCUGAAAUGUAGAAAAAAUAUACAAAAUAUCAUAACACGGCCUAGGGGGCAAGAGAACCAAACAUGUACUCAAAAACCCGAAUUGGAAUACAUUUUGACACACAAAAUAUAGUUUAUAACGAGAAAAGGUGUGUCGAAAAUACAGCACAUCACUACUCAUGGUUCGAAAAACAAGAAAAGUAGAAAAAAGGAAAAUUAACAGAGAAGAAAACAUGUUUUGUCGAGAAAUCUCUGUCUUGUCGCCGAUCUUCAAUCGUUGAUGUUCUCUCGCUUCAAUCGAUAUUUGGAACUGUAUCUCUCUCUAAAAUCUCUAAAACCUUUAUGAAAAAGGUAUAUUAAUGUCCCAAGGGUCUAUAUAGACUUUGAGACCAUGUUGGAGAAGGAAAAUGCCCAACAAUCUCGUUAGAAACUAACACACGGCCGUGUGUUAUGCUUCCCGUUGCUACUGCUUAGUAACACACUCCGUGUGUUAAAAUAUACGGAUUUCUUUCUCGAUGUUAACAUGAUAGUUGUAGAAAAUCGAAUUAUCUUUCCAACGCCACUUACCUUGGAUCAAUCGGACUUCCGAGCGACACGUUGUGCUGAAAAUACUAAACUGCAACAUUUUCUUCCCAAGUCGAACAUAUUGAGUUGUUCCAGCCUCCCCGCCAUGACUUGAUUCAUCCCGAGACAUCAUAUGACACCUGAAAUGUACAAAAACAUACAAAGCAACGUAACACGGUCCCAAGGGGCAAAGUGUAACAAAAUACUCAUGAAACAGCCCAAAGACGAUCGAAGUGAAACAUCCAAGCAUCCAAAACCGUCGUUCAACGCGGGAAUAAUUGUCCUAAUAAUUGAGCUCAUCAGUUACGAUUGUGCUAAUUGUUCUAUAGUGUCGGGAUUGGUAGAGAUUAUUUCACCCUAUCUGCAUGCUUUUUGAGUGAAUACUAGCUUUUUUUUGCUUUAAUCAUGUACGAUUUUGUUCUUUGGCAUUGUUUCACUUGGACCGUUUCGGUCCAUUUGAUGUGUUUUAUGUAGUAUUUGUUAUCCACCGGUAUUUUAGAGACAGAUGCUCUGGCUAUGAGGCUAUGGACGUAGAAUAGAGUACGGUUGGAGCUCGGACGGAAGAAAGAUGCAAGAACUGGUGACGAAUAAGGGCUACAUGCCGUGCCUUAGUGUACGCCAUGUAGUACCAAAAGCUUGAAUUAUCCUCAUAGCAAAAGGGGGUGCAUGGCAUGCACACUUGCACGGUGUGCACCUCCCUGUUCCAGUAGCUACCAUAUAAAAAGGCGAUUUUAAGGAUAGAGAACAACAAGUCUUCUUCAACGAAUUCUCUCAAUUUUUUCCCGAGUUGUCCCAGUAAAAACAUCUUCUAUUCAUCCCUAGAAGUCCUAUUGAAAAUCCGAAGGAGUUCCCACAAAAGUUUGAAGCUAGGAUUGAAGCUAGAAGGCUAAAAGCGAAGAUUGGAGUGUGAUCGAUUCAUUAUCUUUUCAUCAAGAUGGUGGUUAGGUAUUUUCUGAUUUUUCUUCUUCUAGUGAUAUGAGUAGCUAAAUCCUUAGAGUUUUUGGUUGGGAUGUAGGAUUUGAGCUAUGAUAAUGUCCCUAAAAGUAUAGGAUCGACGAUUGUUGGAUAUUUAGAAUUGAAUGAAAGAUUGCUUUGAUUGUUGGUUUUUCAAUCUUGUUCUUGUUACGACUUGAAUUAGGUCAAAUCUAUGAAAUCUUCUGUUUGAUCGACUUAAGAAUUCAUAUGAUUAACAAUCUAAAAUAUAAGAAACUUAACGAUGGAGUAAGCCAAUAGCUCGAUUCUACCUUUCGUGGUUUCUUUUGGUUUUAAUGGUUGUUCAUCGGGUAGUUGGCAAGAGCUCUGAUUUGCACCUAAUGGACCAUGUUGGGUGUAGUUAUCAGUAGCUUAGGUAUUGUUAGAUGAAGUUAACAGUAAUUCCAAUUGUUCGUGAUUUUUUGUAAUUCAAAGAGAGCACCUUAUCACUUUGUAGAACUUCUCGGUGUUCAUUUCUGGUUAGCCUAGUUGAGGUGAUUCCAAUCCUGAUUGGGAAGCUAGUAGUGGUAAUCCGCUUGCAUGAUUGUGCUGCGGAUUCAUAUGACUGAUAAGAUGAAUUGUAUUAGUCAAUCCUAGUCCAACAUUUUCUCGAUCGACUACUAAUAGGAAGUUGAGCUUGAUGAGUCAUCCCUUCCAAGAACUUGUUUUCUCCUUGUUGGUAGCCAUAUUGACCAUACCUUGACCAGUUUUGCUCCGGUUACGAUGAUAAUUGAUGGUUAUAAGUGCCCGGUUUGAUCAUUAGUGCAUUUCGUGCUCGUUUCCUCUCAAAACGGACCAUUUCGGUCCAUUUCACUUAUUUUUUGGAGUCUCUUCCUUGAUUGCAGGUAUCCGUUAGAUAGAGGGUUCGAAUAAAAAGCCGAUGGUACCUUCCGAAGCGAAAUCGGAGUCCGAAUGAAGAAGUUAUGGCAAAAAGAAGUCCAUCAAUGCUGUUGUUGACCAAUCAAGGUCAUGACACAGGCUGUCACGGCCGUGAUAGGUGUCACGGCCGUGAUGGGUAACCUGUCACGGUCGUGAUGCCUAGUCUGGGCAGCAAAAUUAAUUCAGCACCAGACGCGAUUUUAUGGGGGGGGAGGAGACGGAAAAUGACGAACUAAAACACAUUUUGACGAAGGGGAAAGUGCCUGGGAACCUAGGAACACCAUGGGAAUGAAGAUUUGAAGCCAAAUAGUCGAGGAAUCGAAGCCCAAUGGAGGAUCUACCUUCUAUUUUGAUGGAUUGGCGGUUUGAAACUUUCUCUACAUCUUUCAUGGAAAAACAGGAUUUCUUCUUGUUUGGGUUUUGUGAAUUUCUUUGGAUUUGUGGGAUUGUUCUUGUGUGUAGUGAUAAGAUUGUGGAUUCAUGUUGAUUGAUGAUGUGUUUUGUUCUCUUGUUAUCUCGAUUGCCCAUUUGAGCGGAUAAUUGUGGGUGUUGCAAGUGGUUUUAGGAUGUUGAGUUGAUAGACCCAAUCUUAAGACCCGAAAUAUAUCAUUAUCCAUGUUCCUAUUUAUUUUGCUGCUGAACAGCUUCCCAUAGUCCUUAGGAUGAUCCAAAACCCAAACAAGCCCUUCCCCCCCAGACAUUCUCGCCUUAAUUUGAUCAAUAGCCAUCGAGUGAUAUAUUUGCAUUUCUCGUUUCCUGUUUCCUUCAGUAGUUGUUCUGGUUUCAUUUUAUAGUUUAGGAUAAAACUGUUUGCAAAUUGUGAUCGACUAACCAGCGAACCAAAGUUGAGUAGUGAAGGCCAAGUGAACCGAGAGAAUUUGACUCUGAAUAUCUCAGAAUCAUUUGAUUGUUUGGGCUUGAAAACCCUGACGUCAAAUUGGCGUCGUUGCCGGGGACAUACUUGACUUCACGAAAGGUGUAGGAUUGCUCGCUUAAUCUUUAUUGUUUUGUUUCACCCCUCUUGUAUUUGUUGUUUUGGAUAGUUUAGCUUUGUUUUGCAGGAUGAAGUAUGGAUAACCACGCACAGAUGCAGUUUGACUCUCCUAAUCAAGGCUUCCCGCCGGUUCAUUAUGGAUAUGAGAAUGAGUAUGACUGUGGUUAUGGUGAUUUCACUAAUAGGAGUUCAAAUGAUCAAGGCUAUUCAAAUUGGCAAGACCAAUCUGGGUUUCAUGGUGAUUCUCAAUUUCAUGACUCGAUGAAUGGGAAUUAUGGUCCCUCCACUUCCAAUGAAGAUAUUGUCAAGUUAAUCCAAGACAUUGAAGCUCGCUAUCGUGCCGAUAUAGCUAUUCAAGUGGCUCACCAUGCGAGGAUUAAAGCAUCUUUGGGAGAGCUUUAAGAGUCCAUCAAUGUCAUUGCUUUCCAACUCAAAGAAGAAAGAAAUAGUCACCGAGCAUCUCAACAAGAAACUAACUCUUCAUGCCCUAUCAUGGAAACAACAAGUGUUGAGAAGUUGUUAAGUGAUUUUGUAAGAUAACUUGGGGCAAGAUUGGUAAAGCAAGAAGACAAGAUUGAUCGCUUAUCAAGUAAAAUGAAAAUCCUCCAAGAUGCUUUCUUUGAAUUGGAACACAAGACUUGAGCUUGGCAUACUGACAUUGGAGAAAGAAUUAAAGUGGUAGAACAAAUUGAAGAUGUUGGUGCGAUCGAGGAGGAGUCUAAAGAUGAGAAGGUUUUUUGGCUAGGCUGAGACAGGGCGACAUUGAAGAAUUUACGUUCUACUUUUCCGAUGAAGAAAAGGGAAAUGCUUAUAUGGAAAAGUUGAGAAAGGGUAUGAUUCCUAGCCCUCCUCUUUUGGUCGAAGACAUUGACAAAUUAUCCACACUUACCGAUCCUGAAAAAUGAGUGAGUUACGUGUAGUCCAUAUCGUCCAUGAUAUAAAAUGCAAAUCUUUUACAUGAGAAACUUUUAAGAAUCACCGGUAACAAAUUUGGGAAGACGGACAUCUAUAAAGUCGUAACAGUACAGUGAAUCCGUCAAAAUAUUAUCAUGAAUAUUAGAAAAGACCAUGAUUGUCAACAUCUAGUUUUGUCAUAAGUACUUAGCAGGAAAAUCAGUGAUAAAUAUAGUGGAUAGAGACUUUUUAGUCCUUCCCUGAAAGUUCAAACACAUCCGAAGGAUUACUGUGCACCCUAAUUUCUGCUCGUGUUAAUUAAAAUUGUAGAUAUUUUUUUUUUGAAAAGAAAAUUGUAGAUAUUAAUGGCCAUCUUUUAGCUGAGCAAUGUAAUUGUCCAUCAUGGAAAUGAAUGCAGGUUUCCCCUCAAGGGGGUUGGUUGGUAAUUUGUCCCAGCCAUGCAUGCAGCCAGUAGUGUCACUAGUGACUUAGCUUUAUGUUGUGAUCUGAAAUCCUCCAUCAGUUCCUAUAAAUACCAUUAGUCUCCCAAAGCAAUCUUUGCACAACUUGUUUAAACUCCUAUAUAGCCAGUAGCUACCAAAUAAUAAAUAAUUAUAUUGCUCGAUCGAUCGGUAAUUAAAUAAUGGCUGCAGCCGGUAAUUCAACUAUUUGGGUACGUUCAUGUUUGGUGGUGGCUUUGCUUGCGGUGUUUGGUACUGGGAAAUGUUGGGGUCAGCUCUCCACAAACUUCUAUUCAGAGAGCUGCCCUAUGCUGAUGGACACAGUGAGGUGCGAAGUCGAAUCCGCUGUCAACAAGGAAACAAGGAUUGCUGCCUCUCUCCUUCGCUUGCACUUUCAUGACUGUUUCGUCAACGUAAUUAUCGAUGUUUCUCUGUCUCUCUCUAUAUUUUAUGAAAAUCAGCUUUCAUAACAUAAAUAUAAAUUUGUUUUUGUAAUAUAGUAGUAGACUAGUAGUGCAAACUAGACACUAUAACUAGUCAAAUCCAUGCCAGUUAAAAAACAAUUAAAGUGAGAGAGGCUUGAACUCUCAACCCCAGGAUCACUCAGCUAUGAGACCUAGACAUUAGCCAAUUGCACCACCACCCCUU
RNAcentral lists this long non-coding RNA (77702 nucleotides) under Linum usitatissimum (flax). RNAcentral describes it as "long non-coding RNA (LUSI_LNC003758)". Lineage: Eukaryota; Viridiplantae; Streptophyta; Magnoliopsida; Malpighiales; Linaceae. The record is from RNAcentral.